Molecule: long non-coding RNA, 50750 nt
Filed under: Triticum aestivum (bread wheat)
Lineage: Eukaryota; Viridiplantae; Streptophyta; Magnoliopsida; Poales; Poaceae
Description: long non-coding RNA (TAES_LNC026476)
Source: RNAcentral
UUUUUCAGAUUCACGACUUUUUCAAAUUAUUUUUAUGUUUUGGAACAUAUUUAUUUACAAUAAUUUCGAAAAUAAGAACAAAAGUAUACAAAAGAACAAAGGAAAAAAAACAAUGGAAAGGACGAACUAACCCGGGGCAGCCCAUUUAUAGCGCACGCUCCUUCUCGCGCCAAGCGACACAUGUUAAACAAUCGAUUUUGUUGUUAGACUCAGAGAUAUAGUAGUAUAAGGUAGGAGGCGUGCAAAGCGAGAUGCCGACGUGCUGUGCAACGGGACCACAGGUCACUGUGAUGGACCAAGGAGCUCCUCUGUUGUAGUCGUCUUUUCGAAGAUCGAGGGCGACGCCGAUGAGGUGCUGGUCACCGACGGCACCGAUUACGCCGGUGUGGAUACUGACCAGCCCCUCUCCAGACCGAGCACAGGAAACCAGCGCCAUUUCAACCAAGAGGACGAAUCAUUUCAUCCAGUUAUACUUACAGUACUGCAUUGUUUCCAUUUUUUAGACCUCGCUUUCACUGUAACCAAGCAAGCAGGGCACACGCCGUACCCCAUUCUAAACGAAGUCGAUCCACACUGCAGUAACAGGAAAAAGUUCAGAGAUCCAUUGUUUCGAAACAAAAGUUCAGAGAUCGUAACAGGCUUCAAACAUUGUAACCGGGCACACAUCAUAGCGCUCGAUAGGGCGUCCGCACUGAACAAGCAAACAAAUACAUCCAAACCGCGCUUCACUCUCUGACAACCGUUCACCAAGCGAAUGCAUCUAAUCCACACAUCCCACUUUCUCUUCCAACGCCAGGACGCGCUCUCAGAGGAAUCAGCUCUUCUUCCACACGGCAUCAGCAUCUGCGGAUAGAUGAAACAACAUCAACUUACCAUAUGAACAAAGGCACCAAUAACAAGCAUCAAAUAUAAUAAUAUAUAGAUCGCUGUGUCUGAUGCAAGCAGUUGACACUGGAUAUUUGCAACGAGGUGCCUAUCACAUUAUCAGGGAAAAGGACUUCAACCGUGUAUUUUGCAAACAUGCUGAUGAACAUAUGGCAGUAAGCCACAAGCCGAAAUUUCUAUGUGCGCAUAUGAUUAAGCAGCCUAGAGUUUAUACGAUAAGAAUGCACUACACUGAGGUUUGCGUUUGAGAAACCGAUUUAUCAAAUAACGAAACAAGGCCCAUGGCAGGUGCAACAGCUGCGGAGCUUCAACAGGAAGAUGCAGAUUUCAGAGGAGACAUUAAUGAGGCCAGCAAGUGUGUAGAUGAAGAAAGGAUAUGAUAUAGCAACACAAGGACUUAUUAAAUACAUCUGACCAGGGAAACAAAAGCAAAUGUUCAGUGGUGCAUCCAUGUAUACAACUCUUUUGUUGUUGUAUGUCUUGUUUUUCUUUUGUCUAUAAGAAUAAAGUUACUUAUGUAGAUCAGAUGUAAUAAUACAAUAAUAUCCUUAUGCCUAUGAUUGUACUAUAUGUGACCUCCUCCUUCCUGUUUAGCAGUUCAACAGCAGAAAAUCUACAGACAACCGAAAAACAAUUUUUCCCCUUCGGGCUGCUGUAUACUACUGAUAUAUGGAGUAAUCUGUAGUGGAUUGUAAUCACAUAAAAACAAACUGCUAGAACUGCUGUUCAGAGCAGAAACAUGGGGCUGUUGUAAUUAGAUGAUUUCGACUCAUACACAGGUUAUAUACCAAAAUAGAAACUGGAACUUGGAAAUGACUUGAACAGCUCGACCAACUCAUGUAGUAGAAAUUUCAAGCCCAAUAGCAACUCUGGAUUACUAACAAUAUUUAACAGUAAUGAACUAGUAUCAAACUAGGCAGAGUGGAAAAGCAAAUUAUCAUGAAAUAAAUACCUGAAUCAUAUAUCUUUGCUGUGUAACACUGGGACCAUGUUAAAUAAAAUUAAGCAAAUAACAUGCUCACCACUUCAUAUAGUUGGUGCACAUAAUGAUGGUGGGAAACCAGCAUAUAGUCGACCAGAUAAGAUGAUUUUGCUAAGCUCAGCGAACAACUCGACCUGCAACGUCUUGACGUCCACCGAAAAUAACCCAAACAUCACCUCCUCUCCUGAAGAUGUGAUGUACAUCGCUCCUAUGAGCAGGUAUCCCCCGCCUACACCAAGCAGAACAACAUGAUGCAUUUCCGGCAACGGGAUGACCUUCUCCAAGUGCCAUUGGUUAUUUCUCAGAAUGGAAUACCUCAGCCAACAUGGUUCAUACAUGUUACCCCUGUCAUAGACUUCAGCGAGCAUUCCGAGCAUUCCUUCUGCUGCCUCAACAAUGACGAAAUUGCUGCUCCAUCCUUGUUCAGGUGGUAGGUUGACAGCAGAGAACUCCAUGGCACGUGUAUCAAGCAGAACCAACUUGUUCAGGAGGGGAAAACGCCAACAGAAGCAUCCGUGGACGAACUGACGAUCUGAGAGCCCAUCCUUGGUGCCUUCAAGUGGAGCAAACGUAGCUUGAGCACUCCAUUGGUCAAAUGCAAGAGAAUGCCACUGCCAAUCCAAAGAGGAGAAGACGAGCAGCAGCAGAUUCAUUCUGCACUGCAGCAAGCACAUGACCCUGAAUGAUAACGGGUCCUCUUCAUCAUCGCCGGGAGCAAGGAAAGUCUCCAGAUGGAGGAGGUCCGGUUCACUGACCAGCGCUUUCAGGUCGCCGGGGACGGCGGGCAGCAGGAUGUAGCGGCCGUGCACGGGGUCGCACACAGCGAGGUCCCUUACCGAAAAAUAGCGCAGAUGAGAGCUGCCGCCUUUGCCUGGGACUGGGGCGCCGUCGAGGAGGGCGCGUCCGUCCAAGAAGUCAAUCGCGCUCCAGGUACGUCCGGUGGUGGAGGGGAGGAAGGAGGAGCAGGAGAAGUCGAAGCCGGCGAAGGCGCGGGCGGCGAAGGCGGAGGGGUGCGGCGGCUGGGCCGGGAUGAAGGCGCUGUCGUCGAACGCGCCGAUGAGAGGCGGCGGGUGGUGGGCGCGGUAGCGACGGAGGAAGGCGUGGUCGGUGAUGAGACGGCGGAAGGAGGGGCACGCCGCGGAGGCGCGGGCUAGGUCGGCAGCAGUGGGGAGACGGAGGAAGAUGUCGCGGAGGAGCUCGUCUGGGGUUUGGAAGAUCGGCGUCUCCGGCAGCGGUGCUGGAUGCGGCGGCGGCAUCGGGCUGGCCGGCGGGGAAAUUGGGGAUCUACAAAAUGCUCAACCUUUUUUUUUUUGCCAGGCAAAUGGGUGUCUCUUGUACGGCUUCUACGAUGGGCUCUGCAGAUGGAUGAGCCUCCAAAUGUUACACGCCUUAUUAAUCAUCAAAUCGACUCAAAAAAAUAUUAAUCAUCAAAUCAACUCAAAAAAAAUAUUAAUCAUCAAAUCGACUGAAAAUUUGCCUAAAAAAUCAAAUCGACUCAAAAACUUCGCUCGCUAUGCAAUGUACACCCACCCAUCAGACCAAAUCAUCCGUCCAUCAAUUCCAUCCAUCACCACCGUGGACAUGUUGCUGCCUUAAACCUUUUUGCCAUCGUCAUCACCCCUGGUGUCCAAACCAGAACCAGAACCUUGGACGCCAUCAAUGCUACAAGCACGACCGCUUCAGCCAAAUUUGUUAAUAACCAAUCUGGAUGUCAGGAUGCCGGAGGUGAAGGACAUCAACGAAAUGCCCUUCACCGUGAUUUGUUCCGUCGUUUUUCAUAUUUCUGCUUACUGAUUCUUAUGGAUAUUUCAUUAAUAACGGCUCAGUGACAUGCAAUGGGAGCGAGUAGGAAGCUUCUUGUUUCGCUCCACGUGGAGGCAAGGCCGUCGAGGCAGUCGACGAUGCACCUGGACGGUUUCUUGGCGGCCGCCUCCACUGCCGCCUUGGCGCCCACCUAGAUCGACAUUCCAAUUACGUCCUUCACCUUCGGCGUCCUGGCCUCCAGCUUGGCUAGGAACAGAUGACUGCACUGAAAUUGGGCCGAAGCGGUCGCCUAUGUUGGGUUUCUAACCUUCACGCUCAGGCCGGGUUCUGGUUCUGGUUGGACACAUGGGGUGAGGAUGACGGCAAGAAGAGCCAAGAUGUAGGUUUAAGGCAACGACAUGGCCAUGGCGAUGAUGGAUGAAAUGGAUGGACGGUUGAUUUGGUCAAGUGGGUGGGUGUACAUUGCAGCAAGCGAGCGAAUUGGCUAGCUGGUGUUCCCCUUCUUAUAUAUACACCUAGAUAGUAGCCCAUACAUGUAUGCCUGACUGCUUAUACUUCUAUGUGGACGUCCAAUUUUAUAGGCAGGCAAUUAAGGAGGAGCUAGCUAAUUAAGUUGUGGCCAUGGAUCCAUAGACUUGUUCUCCCUAUACCUAAUAUAGAUAGAGAAGCUCGUUAGCCUGUUUAGCUUAAUAGUUGGUCUCCUUCAGCCUUUCCUAUACUAGAUGACCCGUUACACCCAUGGCACAAAAGGCGAGAGUGAGCCGAGUAUUCAAACCAUGCAUACGUGAUUAAUUUAGAACCAAUUUAGGGCGUGUUCGGCAGCCAGCUUCUCCAACUCCACGAUUGGAGCUGAGCCGAACGCUCUGACUCCGCGGAGUUCAGAAUCAAGAAGCCAGCUGCCCGCGUAGUGUAAAGACGGAGGAAACUGAGAAGCUAGCCUUUCCCGGCUCUGAAAAUUGAGGAAGCGGGAGUUGAGACAUAUUACAACCAUAUGCCACCGCCAAGUGAGUCCCUAGCAUACCGGUUUGCUCAUUCUGUUUCUCUCCCCGAUUUUUUUUCUCGUGCACGACCAGAUGCACAGGGAGAUGCACAAGGAGAUGGAUGCUGGGAGCGGACGGGCUGAACGAUUUCCCGGAUAGACUGGGCCACAUGCGCUUAAAUGGGCCGGAGGCCUGGUAGAGCGACCAAAUAUAGAAGCUGUCGUGCCGAACGAUUUCUCGGUCGCCACAUGAAGUGAGAAGCCACACGAGAAGCCAGAUUUGAGAAGUUUUAGAGAAGCUGGGAGGUUUCAGAACACACCCUUAAUAGAUACUUAUACCCAUUACAUGGUACUAUGAUAGACUAAAAGAAAGUAAUGUGAUCACUUGAUAAUAGCAUACAUUGGUUUUAUAAAGCAACUAUGGUAGCAAAGAUGCAUUGUAUAGCUGCCAACUGGAAAGACCAGGACAUGGAGGUGAAUAGUAACUGCUUCAUGCUAUGAUGUGGAGUGUUCUCUAAAAUCUGAUACUGCUUGCACUUGCCCCCGAAAUGAAUAGUAAUAAUUUUAAGAGGAUAAAUCACUCAGAGGUUUGGUUCCUAAUUGGAGCAGCUAAAGAAGCAAAGUAGCUAAUCUUAGUCUGUAUAUCAAACAUUGUUUGGAACAGUUGACAAACUUAUGUGCCUCGAGAUCUGGUGGGGGAUUGAUGGAUUAUGGAUGGGCUUAGACCCAUAUAAGACAAUAAUCCAUGGUUAAUCUCUAAGGCACAUGCUUGUGUACGGCAAGUGGUGGGAAGUGUGAGAAGUUUAGUUCCAUGCUGCUACAGUAAGAAGAGUGAGACCUCUUUAUAAGGGCUGCUCUACCACUUGCUAUUGGAAGCCUGAGAAUAGGAGUUGUACACGCGCGCUCCUCCUUCUCUGCCGCCCGCCUCGCCUCAUCAGGACGCGCGCGCACGCCGCGGGUUGUGGGAAUGAGCCGAGCUGAAGCUUAUUUUUGCCGCUCAGGAAUGGUUAAUUAAUUAUUAAUUGUUUAACGAGUCUUACGGAAGCGCCACUGACAUUGGACCGUGGGCUGUUCACGGACUCGGUCGUGGGCCUGGCCCAGGGCCAUCUACCUGAUGGCCUAUUAAGAAGGCGCUGGCCAGUGUAGUGAAACCUAGUUCAGUUCACUCACUCCCUCUCGCGUAACCUAGCCGUCAUGUACUGUUCCUCACUCUGUGCUGCCUCCGGCGACCCCAUCCCGACGGUCGCGUGCACAGUUGGUCGGGAGAGCAGGCGCCUCCGAACCCUGUCGUUUGAGAUCCUGCCCGGGAAAACGGUAAUAAGGUUUUUGGGGAGCGUCUCUACGCGACUGCCCCCGAUCCGUCCCCGUCUUCGUCCGCCUCUGCUUCCACUACUUUCUCUACAUUGACUCCAUGGCUGACGACGAAGUCGUCAAGAAGAAGGCCUUGGCUGAUGCCGAGGCUGCUGCUGCCGCCGCCGCGUUGGCCUGGCCAAGUGGAGGGUGUGAUUCAUUCAUCCCCUAUCUGCUCAUUCAUGUGUUGGCCGUAUAUAUGUUGUCCAUAGAUGUUUUGGUUCUAUGUACAGUACGUGCUCACAUGUUUAAGUAUCGAUAUGAGAUGCAUACCGUAUUUGCUAUGUUUAUUGUUUACUUGUGAAUUAGAUUAGUCGGAAAAGUGCUAAUAUUUCAACAGAAACAUGUUGUACAUGACGAACUAUCAUAUACUCAAUUUUAUGAGAUGGAAAUAGAUAAAACUAGCUGAAUUGGCACUGGCUUGACCAUUGGACUAAGUGCAUAUAUCCUCAUAACUCAUAACAUAUUGUUGCUUGAAUCCCUUAGCCACCGGCCGAGCAUCAAAGUGAUCAAUGGAUCCAUCGACGUGCACAAAAAAAAACAUCGGUGUCAUAUACUUGCAAAAGAAGCUCGGAGUGCUUCUGUCUAGUCGACUUGUUUUCCGUCGCGGCUGAGCUCCCUGACCUAGAUAGUAUAUGCACCCAAAAUAGAACAUUGCGGGUUACUUGGCAAGUGGUCAUGAUUUCUACUCGCACAUGGUCCAGAAUCCCCACCCGUACACGGAGAGCACACCUACUCAGAAGUGAGAAGAUCACUCUCACACGGUCACACCACACGUGUACGUACAUGGGACGGCCGACGACGGGAUGAAGCAAAAUUUCGUAUUUUGACCAUUUUCUGAAACUUAGUCCAAAUCAAACUUUAAUUUGUAAAAAUUUCGAGAUCUGACCCUUUUGCUAUCCCCAGGGUCCAUGGCGGUAGGGUGUAACAGCCUACCGUCAGGGUCCCUGGUGGUAGGAAACACCUCUAUCAUCAAACAGGCUGGCGGUAGCAUGUACAACCCUACCGCCAAGGUGACCGGCGGUAGGCACGAGCACGCAUUGUGUUUCAUAUUUAAGAAAAAUUUACGGUAGGGCAUGCAAACCUAUCGCCAGAGGCCUUGGCGGUAGGCUGUUAUAAGACUCCAACAAUAAGAAAAGGGUUAAAUCCUGAAAUUUUUACAAACUAGGAUCAGAUCUGGACUAAGUUUCAAAAAAAGUCAAAACACGAAAUUUAGCCACGGGAUGAACCGGACGUGAUCGUCCAUCCAGCAGCGAAUGCACUCUGAUCGAUGAGUGUGACUGCUAGGCUAGUCACGGCAUAUGUUGAGAUCUGCAUUAAGAUUACGUACUCCCUUCGUCUCAUAAUAUAAGAUGUUUUUUAACAUUAUAUUAGUAUGAAAAAUGUCUUACAUUAUGAAACGAAGGGAGUACUAAUUAAUGCAGUACUAGACUGUGACUCCUAAGAUGAUGAAAAUUACUUAGGCGCUUCUCGUUUUUUCUUUGUGUGUGGAUGCCGAAGUAUCACUUCUAGUUUAGCGUGUACCACAUGAAGGGUGAGUGCUUGUUGCAGCUCCCCAGCGUUUUUCUAGAUGAUAUAUACUCGAUGUCAGUGAACAGCACUUUGAGGCUUUGACGUGCUCUUGCGUGGUUAUUAUCACGCUGGAUGGUACUGGACAUCUCAUGAUUUUUUGACCGAGAUGCUCACAUUUCUGAUAUGCUUCUUGAGAGUAACUUUUGGGGCCUAGAGGAAAAUAAAUUAAAAGUAAGUUAGGGUGUUUUCAAGGUUUAUUGAAAAUUCAAAAGUAUUGGAACAUGUGGUAAUUAAAGUAUCCUCUAAUGGAUAAAAUGAACACAACCCACUUGUCUGAUAAAUGGCAUCAUAAGGGCCAGCCAGAGUACCAUCACAAUGGAUAUAGAAUCGAUCUCACAACCCACAUUGAUUAAGAGUAGGCGUCCGGGCGCCUCACCACCAUGAAACACUCUGGUAAAUAAAACUAGAGUCAAGAGCUUCAGAUAGAUUAAGGUUCAACGGGGAUGACUAUGACUUUAGGGUGCGGGUUCUUAGGAGCACAUGCAUGAAGAUUUUCUAAGCUAUCAUAUACAAGGUCAUGCGGGCUCCUUGUGAACGCAUCACCAUUAUAACGCAGAUCCUCGAAUGCACAGUCCAUCAAGCAAUCUUGGAACACCUUGUUGUAUUUCAAAGCCCUAGUGCCCCUCCUUUUUCCCACAAGUAUAGAACCUUGUUAAAAUCACUGCUGCUCCCGUCGCACCAGCAACAAUCCCUCGCGUGGUUCUCGCGUUGGUGCCAACAAUCCAAAGGUCGUCCGGUGCCAAUGCCUUGCGACGCCACAAACAACCGCCGUGGUCGGCGGGGAAGCGACAAAGGACUCCGCCAUCACCGCCAAAGCUCCCCUGCACACCAACAAGGUCUCGGAGAAGAGGUCGCCGCAGGAUCCAUCAGCCACAGCUACUGCUCGGGCAAAGAAGAAGGUGGCGACAAUGGCGAUGGCCCCGCCACCGACGAUGCCUUCCAUGGUGACAGUGGCUCCCCCGACACCGCCUAGGCCCUAUUCACCUCGUUGCCCACCACCACACGAGAACAAUCCGUUGUCACUCGUCACCACAACUGCAGGUGUCCCCAUGGGCGGAGGAUGUGCACGCAUUAAUUUUCGUUCUAACCCCGAAAACACACGGCUGCAAUCUUAAUGCUAGUAUUGUGUAUAUAUUAGUCCAUUCUAAUUAACUGGGAUAAUACUAAUAUUGAACUUUGUACACCCAUUUUCUAAACUUAGCCCCGCCACUAGGUGUCCCCAACGUGUGCGGUGAAAUGCCUAGGAGGUAAAAAAAUAUUUUCCGUUUUUCCCAUUGAUUUUAAUGGGAUACAUUUUGUAGGCAAUUAUGAUGUGAUGUGACUGUAUUUUAUUCAAAUUUGAUGUAUGUAGUGCAAAAUCCUUUUUGCAAUAUACUUGUGUUGCAUCUCAAAAUUUUCUAUAAAAAGAUUUUGCAUCCCAAGAAAUUCCCUUUCAAGAAUAUGCAUUGCAAGAAAAGCACGUUCUUGACAUGGAAGAAGAGUACUUUGUUGAUGCAGUUCCAAGGGGAGAGGUGGGAAUUACACUACCAAAGAGGAAAAAAAUGUUCUGUGACGUGUGAAAGAAGGUUGGUUUUGAACCGCACAUCCGUGUCGAGCAACCAAUGCCAAGUUAUAGGAAGUGUAUCUCUAAGUACUUCAUGGCACGCAAUACUAGUGGCAUCUAUCUAUUGGAAAUUUUGCACCAACGUCGAUGGCAAACAAUAUCAUCGGAAUGCCAAUAGUGUUUGGUAUGCCUGGCACAAGUUGACUGUAUGAACCCGAGGGGCACAAAUACCAACGAUAAGAUGAUUGUUUGUUUGCAUUCGUCCAUUAUUUUUUCAUAUCAUGUAUGGAUUGGUGGCUAACUUCUUUUCUCACUUGUGGUAUGUAGCUCAACAUUGCUCAAGAAUUGUUUAAGGGCCGAGGAAAAUGCAAGGGAAAAUGUUCAAGGAAAGGCAAGAGAUUCAAUUUGCACCACUGUUGGACAGAGAGUGGAGAUGUUUAGAAGUGGAAGAACCGCAAAUACAAUGAAAUUCCAAAUAAGAAGUCAAAGAGAUCGGUGGAAAUGCAACACAAGGUGACAUCGAUAAUGAUGCAUCAAGUGCCAUGGACGAAAAAAAUCCCCACUCCAAACUCGGAUGCUAAGAAGAGGGCCGAUGGUAGGAUGAAAGGCAAGGACAAGAUGAAGAAGGGAGGAGACAAUGACUACAAAGAGUCAUUGGACAAUAUCAUGGCAAUAAGGAAGGUAUAUGGCUAAGGCAAAGAAGACCUUGAGAGCCAAAGAAAUGGAGGAGAGGAGAAAGACUAGAGAGAGGAGGUUGGCAAUAGGAAAGGUGGGUGGUGGCCAAGGAGAGGAGGGCCAAUGUUGAUGAGAUGAAGGUGGCCUACGAAGGAAGAAUGUGACGCCCCGAGACUGAUAUGCCAGGUGUCUUCCAGUUAUUCGCUGUUGUUGUUUUGUCAUUCGCUUGCGUGUUGCAUCUUGUCAUGUCAUCAUGUGCAUUUCAUCAUCACGUUUUCAAAACUUGCAUCCGUCCCGGUCUCCUCGUUCUUUCCGUUGUUCGUUCUGAGCCCGAAAUAGUAUUUUAUAAGUGGCCGGAAAAUAUUCUCGGAUUGGGUUGAAAGUUGGCAUGUGGUCUUAUUAUAGUGUAGAUAGACCGCCUGUCAAGUUCCAUCGCAUUCGGAGCUCGUUUGAUAGCCCAACCGUUAAACUAUAGAGACAAUAUAGUCAAUCAAAUCGUCGGACGUUUUCGAUAUCCGGGACUACCGCCGGGCCUCUUCUUCUCUUCUCUGCUCUCAGACCACCUAGUUUCCCCUCCACUUCGGACCGCACGAUCGCGAUCCGAGGGUCCAAAACGGAGCAAGCCCCUCUCCAAACCCUAAUCCUAGCCCACCUACUAUAAAUAGACCCCAUCCCCUUCCAAAUUGGGUCUAAACCUAGCCUAGCCCCUCCCCAAACCUCCAUCCACCACAUCAACCUCGAAGCCCGCGCUGCUAACCAGAUCCAACCACCCCCUCCUCAUUUUCCGGUGCCCUCCACCUCACACCCGCCACUUGGCGCGCCCAGAUUGGCUCAGCCACCGCCAGCAGCCGCCUGUGGCCACUCGCAGGCGGCCACGUGGCCUCUCCUCGCUUUUCCCCUGUCUCCCCGCGCCGCCGUGGACCGCUCAGGCUCGCGCAAGGCCCGCCCGAGCCCAUCCAGGGCCCGAGUGCCACUCCGGCCGAUCUGCAUCGCCGUGCUGCUUUUCCUCGCUCGAUCCCGAUGAGAACAGGAGCGCCGCCGCCGGCCUCUCGUCGCCGCUGCCUUCCCCUCAUGCCUGUGUGCCUUUUCCACGAGACCGGAGCCCUCGUACCCAGGCGUCUCCGUCGACCCUGCUGUCGGCCGGCGACCUCGUCCGCUGGAGCUCGCCUUCGCCGGCCAAUAGCAGCAGCAACCGGCGCGCCCCUUCCUCCUCCUCGUCGCCCUUCACCUGGAGCUGCCGGAGUCACAAGAGGCCGCCAAGUCCCGCCGUGGUCGCCAGGGCCUUCCCCGACCUCGAUCCGUCAAGUCCGCCGGCGGGAGCGGCCUUCACCGCCCAGAUCCAUCAAUGCCUCGCCUCUUCUUCGUUUCAGUCGAGGACGAGCGCUCCCUCGUCGUCGUGUUGACCGCAGAAGACCCGCACCUGGGCCGUGUCUCGCGUGAGGUCCACCAAUCGGCCCAGCUGCCAGGCCCAGCGGCGCCCGGCCUGCCUGGGCCUCUCCACCAACCGACUGGACCUCAGCCCACUGGGUGAGACCACCCCAGCGCCCCCCUUUUUUUCUUUCCCUAUUGGGCUUCCUGCUCAGAUGCGGUCCGUAUCAUGUUUUUUCCCUUGGUCGGAUUUAGCUAAUUUAUCCAGAGACUUUCAGUUUUGCAGAAACACCCUUGCACUUCAUGCAUAUCCUAACUAAUUAACCGUGCAUCGGAUUAAAACAAACUUUAUAUGUAAAAUGUCUAGAAUUUUGUCUAGUUUAAUAAUAUCCAACUUUCAUCCAUGUUUAAAAUGUUUAAACCACUGUUUUUUUAAAUUUUCUUAAAUAACUUGUUAAAAUGCUUUAAUUCAUAACUAAAUAACCGUAACUCAAAAUUUAAUAAACUUUAUAUGUAAAUGGGGUGGAAAAAUGCCUAGUUUAACAUGGUGACCUUACUUUGCAUGUCUAAUAACUCUAAAAUUAUGUUUAGGGCAGAACAAUACCAAACCUAAAAUAUGCAUAUGGGGAUUUACCGGAAUUGUUGUUCGUUGCUUCCGGCCUCAUUUAAACUUGACUAGACAGGUAGUUUUACUUUGCUUCACCCUCUUGCCAUGUUUAACAACAUUUAAUAUUGUUGGUUAUAUAAACAAGAUCGAACUAAAUAAGUCACGUGGUGUUUCGUCAAUAUGCAACGGAGUUGCAUAUUGAGCUCCACUUAAUUUGUAGGGUUGUUUGUGCACUUUGCCAUGCCAUGCCUCAUUAAACCGGACAUGCAUCAUACUUGUUUGCGCAUCGUGCCAUGUUUAUGUGAUGAUUGUUUACCAUGAUUGUUUGCUUCUUUCGGGUGUUGCUUCUGCGGGUUGGUUUCGAUAAUGUUGUGUUGUUCCGAUAAUGUACUUCAUGGCUCGCUCUUUUGCUAUGCCUAUGCUACGAUACCUACCACUUGCUUAUCAUGCCUUCCAUUUGCCAUGUCAAGCCUCUAAGCCACCUUGUCCUAGCAAACUGUUGUUUGGCUAUGUUACCGCUUUGCUCAGUCCCUCUUAUAGCAUUGUUAGUUGAAGGUGAAGAUUGGAGCUUGUUCCUUGUUUGGAACAUGGAUAUUUUGUUGGGAUAUCACAAUAUCUCUUAUUUAAUUAAUGCAUCUAUAUACUUGGUAAAGGGUGGAAGGCUCAGCCUUAUGCCUGGUGUUUUGUUCCACCCUUGCUGCCCUAGUUUCCGUCAUAUCGGUGUUAUGUUCCCGAAUUUUGUGUUCCUUACAUGGUUGGGUUAUAAUGGGAACCCCUUGACAGUUCGCGUUGAAUAAAACUCCUCCAGCAAGGCCCAACAUUGGUUUUACCAUUCACCACCUAGCCUUUUCUUUCCCUUGGGUUCUGCAGACUCAAGGGUCAUCUUCAUUUUAACCCCCCCGGGCCAGUGCUUCUCUAAGUGUUGGUCCGAACCAAGUAGACUGCGGGGCCACCUCGGGGCAACUUGAGGGUUGGUUUUACUCGUAGGAUGUCUCAUCUGAGUGUGCCCUGAGAACGAGAUAUGUGCAGCUCCUAUCGGGAUUUGUCGGCACAUUCGGGCGGCUUUGCUGGACUUGUUUUACCAUUGUCGAGGAUGUCUUUAACUAGGAUUCCGAGCCUGAUCGGGUCUUCUUGGGAGAAGGAAUAUCCUUCGUUGACCGUGAGAGCUUGUGAUGGGCUAAGUUGGGACACCCCUGCAGGGAUUUGAACUUUCGAAAUCCGUGCCGCAGUUAUGGGCAGAUGGGAAUUUGUUAAUGUUCGGUUGUAGAAAACCUGAAGUUUAUCUUAAUUAAGAUACAUCAACCGCGUGUGUAGCCAUGAUGGUCUCUUCUCGGCGGGGUCCGGGAAGUGAACACGGUGUUGGAGUUAUGCUUGGCGUAGGUUGUUCUAGGAUCACUUCUUGAUCAUAGUUUACCCCUCAUGUCGUUGCCUUCUCUUCUCGCUCUCUUUUGCGCAUAUGUUAGCCACCAAAUACGCUAGUCGCUUGCUGCAGCUCCACCUCAUACCUUUUACCCUACCUAUAAGCUUACAUAGUCUUGAUCGCGAGGGUGUGAGAUUGCUGAGUCCCCGUGACUCAUAGAUACUUCCAAAACCAGUUUGCAGGUGCCGAUGAUACCGUGCAGGUGACGCAACCAAGCUCAAAGAGGAGCUUGAUGAAGAUCGUGUUCAUUGUGUUGUUCUGUUUCCCGUUGAUCAGUAGUGGAGCCCAGUUGGGACGAUCGGGGAUCUGUGUAGCAUUUGGGGUAGUCUUAUUUUAUUUUGGUUCUGUAGUCGGACCUUGAUUGUAUCUGGCUGAUGUAAUGCUUUAUCCAUGUAAUUGUGUGAAGUGGCGAUUGUAAGCCAACUACGUAUCUCUUUCCUUUAUGUAUUACAUGGGUUGUGUGAAGAUUACCUCACUUGCGACAUUGCUUACAAUGCGGUUAUGCCUCUAAGUCGUGCUUCGACACGUGGGAGAUAUAGCCACAUCGUGGGCGUUACAAGUUGGUAAUCAGAGCCUUCCCUGACCUUAGGAGCCCCCUGCUUGAUCGAAUCGCUGGCGUUGUUGAGUCUAGAAAAAUGUUUUGAGUCAUUUAGGAUUAUAUAUAUCGGAGAGUAGGAUUCUUUUUACUCCUCAGUCCCUUCAUCGCUCUGGUGAGGCAUCCUGACGUAGAGUUUUGACUCUUCUCUCUCAAAUUUCACUAAAAAAAAUUUAGGAUCACGCGGGUAUCUUGGAAUCAGUCCGAUCGAUUUAUGACGAGAACAUUGUUCUUGGUGCCUCCUGACAUUUAGGAGUUGUGGCAGUGUCCUGGGGAGUUGAGCUCCGAGGUGUUGUCAUCACAAUUUAUCGUUGAGAUUCUGGAAUACCCAAGUUUCGCCGACAUCAAAAAUCUAUUUUAUGCAGUUGUUGGUGAGAUAACCUCGACGCCACCCAGUACUGGGGCGGGAGUUCGGGAGUAUUGCCAUAACUUGUAUAACUGAUGCUUUUCGAAGGUUGAGGUAAACGAUUUCCGAAGGUUUCUUGGUUAUGUGUUGAAGGAUGGAUACAACUGGAUGUAGGAUUUGCUAGUUUUGGGUGAGAUAUUAUGCUUCCCUGUAUCCCCAACACCUGAUUGUUGGGGAACGUAGUAAUUUCAAAAAUUUCCUACGCACACGCAAGAUCAUGGUGAUGCAUAGCAACGAGAGGGGAGAGUGUUGUCUACGUACCCUCAUAGACCGUUCGCGGAAGCGUUAUAUCAACGUGGUUGAUGUAGUCAUACGUCUUCACGAUCCGACCGAUCCAAGUACUGAAAGCACGGCACCUCCGAGUUCUGCACACGUUCGGAUCGGUGACGUCCUCGCCUUCUCGAUCCAGCAAGAGGGGCGAAGUAGUAUAUGAGUUCCGACAGCACGACUGCGUGGUGACGGUGUUGGUGAAGAACAAUCUUCGCAGGGCUUCUCCUAAGCACUACGAAAACUAUGAUGUAGGAUAAACUAGAGGGGACGGGGUUGCCGACACACGGCUUGGUGUUUCUUGAUGUGUCUUUGGUGCUAUCCCUACCCCUCUAUUUAUAUGUUGAGCCCUGGGGUCGAAACUUGGAGUAAAAGCCUCCUCAAAGUCGGUUUCACUUGAAAGGCAAGAGUCCUUCUCGGACUCCAGGGCUAGACGCCAGGGUUCCUGGCGUCUACCCCCUAGACGCCAGGGUUCCUGGCGUCUAGCCUCUGGUCUCCACAAAACUUCCUUUUGCACUUCCCAAAAGCCUCGUGGGCUUUCCCCUUUGGCCCAGAUAAAGUGUUCUCGUGCCCAAACAUUUCGGGAAACAUCUGGAACCCCUUCCGGUGAAUUCCGGAACCCUUCCAGAGAUCAAACACUACUAUCCACAUAUCAAUCUUUACUUCUGGACCAUUCCGGAGUUCCUCGUCAUAUCUGUGAUCUCAUCCAAAACUCCGAACAACAUUCGGUCACCAACAUACAUAACUCAUAGUACUAUAUCGUCAACGAACGUUAAGCGUGCGGACCCUACAGGUUCGAGAACUAUGUAGACAUGACCGAGACACCUCUCUGCUCAAUAACCAAUAGCGGGACCUGGAUGCCCAUAUUGGCUCCUACAUAUUCUACGAAGAUCUUUAUCGGUCAGACCGCAUAACAACAUACGUUGUUUCCUUUGUCAUCGGUAUGUUACUUGCCCGAGAUUCGAUCGUCAGUAUCUCAAUACCUAGUUCAAUCUCGUUACCGGCAAGUCUCUUUACUCGUUCCGUAAUACAUCAUCCCGCAACUAACUCAUUAGUUGCAAUGCUUGCAAGGCUUAUAGUGAUGUGCAUUACCGAGUGGGCCCAGAGAUACCUCUCCGACAAUCGGAGUGAUAAAUCCUAAUCUCGAAAUACGCCAACCCAACAAGUACCUUUGGAGACACCUGUAGAGCACCUUUAUAAUCACCCAGUUACGUUGUGAUGUUUGGUGGCACACAAAGUGUUCCUCCGAUAAACGGGAGUUGCAUAAUCUCAUAGUCAUAGGAACAUGUAUAAGUCAUGAAGAAAGCAAUAGCAACAAACUAAACGAUCAAGUGCUAUGCUAAUGGAAUGGGUCAAGUCAAUCACAUCAUUCUCCUCAUGAUGUGAUCCCGUUAAUCAAAUGACAACUCAUGUCUAUGGUUAGGAAAUAUAACCAUCUUUGAUCAACGAGCUAGUCAAAUAGAGGCAUACUAGUGACACUCUGUUUGUCUAUGUAUUCACACAUGUAUUAUGUUUCCGGUUAAUACAAUUCUAGCAUGAAUAAUAAAAAUUUAUCAUGAUAUAAGGAAAUAAAUAAUAACUUUAUUAUUGCCUCUAGGGCAUAUUUCCUUCAGUCUCCCAAUUGCACUAGAGUCAAUAAUCUAGUUCACAUCGCCAUGUGAUUUAACAUCAAUAGUUCACAUCACCAUGUGAUUAACACCCAUAGUUCACAUCGACAUGUGACUAACACCCAAAGGGUUUACUAGAGUCAAUCAUCUAGUUCACAUCGCUUAUGUGAUUAACACCCAAAGAGUACUGAGGUGUGAUCAUGUUUUGCUUGUGAGAGAAGUUUAGUCAACGGGUCUGCCACAUUCAGAUCCGUAAGUAUUUUGCAAAUUUCUAUGUCAACAAUGCUCUGCAUGGAGCUACUCUAGCUAAUUGCUCCCACUUUCAAUAUGUAUCCAGAUUGAGACUUAGAGUCAUCUGGAUCAGUGUCAAAACUUGCAUCGACGUAACCCUUUACGACGAACCUUUUGUCACCUCCAUAAUCGAGAAACAUAUCCUUAUUCCACUAAGGAUAAUUUGACCAAUGUCCAGUGAUCUACUCCUAGAUCACUAUUGUACUCCCUUGCCAAACUCAGGGCAGGGUAUACAAUAGGUCUGGUACACAGCAUGGCAUACUUUAUAGAACCUAUGGCUGAUGCAUAGGGAAUGACUUUCAUUCUCUCUCUAUCUUCUGCCGUGGUCGGGUUUUGAGUCUUACUCAACUUCACCCCUUUGUAACACAGGCAAGAACUCCUUCUUUGACUAUUCCAUUUUGAACUACUUCCAAAUCUUGUCAAGGUAUGUACUCAUUGAAAAACAUAUCAAGCGUCUUGAUUUAUCUCUAUAAAUCUUGAUGCUCAAUAUGUAAGCAGCUUCACCGAGGUCUUUCUUUGAAACACUCCUUUAUGCUUUGCAGAAUAAUUCUACAUCAUUUCCGAUCAACAAUAUGUCAUUCACAUAUACUUAUCAGAAAUGUUGUAGUGCUCCCAUUCACUUUCUUGUAAAUACAGGCUUCACCGCAAGUCUGUAUAAAACUAUAUGCUUUGAUCAACUCAUCAAAGCAUAUAUUCCAACUCCAAGAUGCUUGCACUAGUCCAUAGAUGGAUCGCUGGAGCUUGCACAUUUUGUUAACACCUUUAGGAUCGACAAAACCUUCUGGCUGCAUCAUAUAUAACUCUUCUUUAAUAACUCCUUUAAGGAAUGCAGUUUUGUUUAUCCAUUUGCCAGAUUUCAUAAAAUGCGGCAAUUGCUAACAUGAUUCGGACAGACUUAAGCAUACAUACGAGUGAGAAACUCUCAUCGUAGUCAACACCUUGAACUUGUCGAAAACCUUUUUGCGACAAUUCUAGCUUUGUAGAUAGUAACACUACUAUCAGCAUCCGUCUUCCUCUUGAAGAUCCAUUUAAUCUCAAUGGCUCGCCGAUCAAUGGGCAAGUCAAUCAAAGUCCAUACUUUGUUCUCAUACAUGGAUCUCAUCUCAGAUUUCAUGGCCUCAAGCCAUUUCGCGGAAUCUGGGCUCAUCAUCGCUUCCUCAUAGUUCGUAGGUUCGUCAUGGUCAAGUAACAUGACCUCCAGAACAGGAUUACCGUACCACUCUGGUGCGGAUCUCACUCUGUUUUACCUACGAGGUUUCGGUAGUAACUUGAUCUGAAGUUACAUGAUCUUCAUCAUUAGCUUCCUCACUAAUUGGUGUAGUAGUCAUAGGAACAGAUUUCUGUGAUGAACUACUUUCCAAUAAGGGAGCAGGUACAGUUACCUCAUCAAGUUCUACUUUCCUCCCACUCACUUCUUUCGAGAGAAACUCCUUCUCUAGAAAGGAUCCAUUCUCAGCAACGAAUAUCUUGCCUUCGGAUCUGUGAUAGAAGGUGUACCCAACAUUUUUAUUUUGGGUAUCCUAUGAAGACGCACUUCUCUGAUUAGGGUUUGAGCUUAUCAGGUUGAAACUUUUUCACAUAAGCAUUGCAACCUCAAACUUUAAGAAACGACAGCUUAGGUUUCUUGCCAAACCAUAGUUCAUACGGUGUCGUCUCAACGGAUUUAGAUGGUGCCCUUUUUAAUGUGAAUGCAGCUGUCUCUAAUGCAUAACCCCAAAACGAUAGUGGUAAAUCGGUAAGAGACAUCAUAGAUUUGCACUAAAUCAAAUAAAGUACGGUUAUGAUGUUCGGACACACCAUUACGUUGUGGUGUUCCAGGUGGCAUGAGUAGUGAAACUAUUUCACAUUGUUUUAACUGAAGGCCAAACUCGUAACUCAAAUAUUUUACUUGUAUGAUCAUAUUGUAAAAACUUUUAUUUUUGUUACGAUGAUUCUCCACUUCACUCUGAAAUUCUUUGAACUUUUCAAAUAUUUCAGACUUGUGUUUCAUCAAGUAGAUAUACUCAUAUCAGCUCAAAUCAUCUGUGAAGGUCAGAAAAUAACGAUACUUCCCGUGAGCCUUAACACUCAUCGGACCGCAUACAUCAGUAUGUAUUAUUUCCAAUAAGUUAGUUGCUCGCUCCAUUGUUACGGAGAACGGAGUCUUAGUCAUCUUGCCCAUGAGGCAUGGUUAGCAAGCAUCAAGUGAUUCAUAAUCAAGUGAUUCAAAAAGUCCAUCAGCAUGGAGUUUCUUCAUGCGCUUUACACCAAUAUGACCUAAAUGACAGUGCCACAAAUAUGUUGCACUAUCAUUAUUAACUUUGCAUCUUUUGGUUUUAAUAUUAUGAAUAUGUGUAUCACUACGAUCGAGAUCCAACGAACCAUUUUCAUUGGGUGUGUAACCAUAUAAGGUUUUAUUCAUGUAAAUAGAACAACAAUUUAUUCUCUUACUUAAAUGAAUAACCAUAUUGAAAUAAACAUGAUCAAAUCAUAUUCAUGCUCAACGCAAACACCAAAUAACACUUAUUUAGGUUCAACACUAAUCCCGAAAGUAUAGGGAGUGUGCGAUGAUGAUCAUAUCAAUCUUGGAACCACUUCCAACACACAUCGUCACUUCACCCUUAACUAGUCUUUGUUCAUUCUGCAACUCCCGUUUCGAGUUACUACUCUUAGCAACUGAACCAGUAUCAAAUACCGAGGGGUUGCUAUAAACACUAGUAAAGUACAUAUCAAUAACAUGUAUAUCAAAUAUAGCUUUGUUCACUUUGCCAUCCUUCUUAUCCACCAAAUACUUGGGGUAGUUCCGCUUCUAGUGACAAGUCCCUUUGCAGUAGAAGCACUUAGUCUCAGGCUUAGGUUCAGAUUUGGGUUUCUUCACUUGAGCAACAACUUGUUUGCCGUUCUUCUUGAAGUUCCCCUUCUUCCCUUUGCCCUUUCUCUUGAAACUAGUGGUCUUGUCAAUCAUCAACACUUGAUGUUUUUCUUGAUUUCUACCUUCACUGAUUUUUGCAUCGCGAAGAGCUUGGGAAUUGUUUUCGUCAUCCCUUGCAUAUUAUAGUUCAUCACUAAGUUCUACUAACUUGGUGAUGGUGACUAGAGAAUUCUGUCAAUCACUAUUUUUAUCUGGAAGAUUAACUCCCACUUGAUUCAAGCGAUUGUAGUACCCAGACAAUCUGAGCACAUGCUCACUGCUUGAGCUAUUCUCCUCCAUCUUUUAGCUAUAGAACUUAUUGGAGACUUCAUAUCUCUCAACUCGGGUAUUUGCUUGAAAUAUUAACUUCAACUCCUGGAACAUCUCAUAUGGUCCAUGACGUUCAAAACGUCUUUGAAGUCCCGAUUCUAAGCCGUUUAAGCAUGGUGCACUAAACUAUCAAGUAGUCAUCAUAUUGAGCUAGCCAAACGUUCAUAACAUCUGCUCUUGCAAUAGGUUUGUCACCUAGCGGUGCAUCAAGGACAUAAUUCUUCUGUGCAGCAAUGAGGAUAAACCUCAGAUCAUGGAUCCAAUCCGCAUCAUUGCUACUAAUAUCUUUCAACUUAGUUUUCUCUAGGAACAUAUCAAAAAUAAAACAGGGGAGCUAAACACAAGCUAUUGAUCUACAACAUAGAUAUGCUAAUACUACCAGGACUAAGUUCAUGAUAAAUUUAUGUUCAAUUAAUCAUAUUACUUAAGAACUCCCACUUAGAAAGACAUCCCUCUAAUCUUCUAAGUGAUCACGUGAUCCAAAUCAACUAAACCAUAACCGAUCAUCACGUGAAAUGGAGUAGCUUUCAAUGGUGAACAUCAAUAUGUUGAUCAUAUCUACUAUAUGAUUCACGCUCGACCUUUCGGUCUCAGUGUUCCGAGGCCAUAUCUGCAUAUGCUAGGCUCGUCAAGUUUAACCUGAGUAUUUAGUGUGUGCAAAACUGGCUUGCACCCGUUGUAGAUGGACGUAGAGCUUAUCACACCCGAUCAUCACCUGGUGUCUGGGCACGACGAACUUUUGCAACGGUGCAUACUCAGGGAGAACACUUUUAUCUUGAAAUUUAGUGAGAGAUCAUCUUAUAAUGCUACCGUCAAACAAAGCAAGAUAAGAUGCAUAAAAGAUAAACAUCACAUGCACUCAAUAUAAGUGAUAUGAUAUGGCCAUCAUCAUCUUGUGCUUGUGAUCUCCAUCUCCGAAGCACCGUCAUGAUCACCAUCGUCACUAGCGCGACACCUUGAUCACCAUCGUAGCAUCGUUGUCGUCGCGCCAAUCUUAUGCUUCCACGACUAUCACUACCGCUUAGUGGUAAACUAAAGCAUUACAACGCAAUUGCAUUGCAUACAAUAAAGCGACAACCAUAUGGCUCCUGCAGCAAUGAGGAUAAACCUCAGAUUACGGAUCCAAUCCGCAUCAUUGCUAUUAACAUCUUUCAACACAAUUUUCUCCAGGAACAUAUCAAAAUAAACACAGGGAUGCAACAACGCGAGCUAUUGAUCUACAAUAUAAUUUGCAAAAUACUACCACGACUAAGUUCAUGAUAAAUUUAAGUUCAAUAAAUCAUAUUAUUUAAGAACUCCCACUUAGAUAGACAUCCCUCUAAUCCUCUAAGUGAUCACGUGAUCCAAAUCAACUAAACCAUAACCGAUCAUCACGUGAAAUGGAGUAGCUUUUAUGGGGGAACAUUACUAUGUUGAUCAUAUCUACUAUAUGAUUCACGCUCGACCUUUCGGUCUCAGUGUUCCGAGGCCAUAUCUGCAUAUGCUAGGCUCGUCAAGUUUAACCUGCGUAUUUUGCGUGUGCAAAACUGGCUUGCACCCGUUGUAGAUGGACGUAGAGCUUAUCACACCCGAUCAUCACGUGGUGUCUGGGCACGACGAACUUUGGCAAUGAUGCAUACUCAGGGAGAACACUUUUAUCUUGAUAAUUUAGUGAGAGAUCAUCUUAUAAUGCUACCGUCAAUCAAAGCAAGAUAAGAUGCAUAAAAGAUAAACAUCACAUGCAAUCAAUAUAAGUGAUAUGAUAUGGCCAUCAUCAUCUUGUGCUUGUGAUCUCCAUCUCCGAAGCACCGUCAUGAUCACCAUCGUCACCGGCGCGACACCUUGAUCUCCAUCGUAGCAUCGUUGUCGUCUCGCCAAUCUUAUGCUUCCACGACUAUCGCUACCGCUUAGUGAUAAAGUAAGGCAUUACAGCGCGAUUGCAUUGCAUACAAUAAAGCGACAACCAUAUGGCUCCUGCCAGUUGCCGAUAACUCGGUUACAAAACAUGAUCAUCUCAUACAAUAAAAUUUAGCAUCAUGUCUUGACCAUAUCAUAUCACAACAUGCCCUGCAAAAACAAGUUAGACGUCCUCUACUUUGUUGUUGCAAGUUUUACGUGGCUGCUAUGGGCUGAGCAAAAACCGUUCUUACCUACGCAUCAAAACCACAACGAUAGUUUGUCAAGUUGGUGCUGUUUUAACCUUGACAAGGACCAGGCAUAGCCACACUCGGUUCAACUAAAGUUGGAGAACUGACACCCGCCAGCCACCUGUGUGUAAAACACGUCGAUAGAACCAGUCUCGCGUAAGCGUACGCGUAAUGUCAGUCUGGGCCGCUUCAUCCAACAAUACCGCCGAACCAAAGUAUGACAUGCUGGUAAGCAGUAUGACUUAUAUCGCCCACAACUCACAUGUGUUCUACUCGUGCAUAUGACAUCUACGCAUAAAACCUAGGCUCGGAUGCCACUGUUGGGGAACGUAGUAAUUUCAAAAAUUUCCUACGCACACGCAAGAUCAUGGUGAUGCAUAGCAACGAGAGGGGAGAGUGUUGUCUACGUACCCUCGUAGACCGUUCGCGGAAGCAUUAUAUCAACGCGGUUGAUGUAGUCGUACAUCUUCACGAUCCGACCGAUCCAAGUACCGAAAGCACGACACCUCCGAGUUCUGCACACGUUCGGCUUGGUGACGUCCUCGCCUUCUCGAUCUAGCAAGAGGGGCGAAGUAGUAGAUGAGUUCCGCCAGCACGACGGCGUGGUGACGAUGUUGGUGAAGAACAAUCUCCGCAAGGCUUCGCCUAAGCACUACGAAAACUAUGACGUAGGAUAAACUAGAGGGGACGGGGUUGCUGUUACACGACUUGGUGUUUCUUGAUGUGUCUUUGGUGCUAGCCCUACCCUACUAUUUAUAUGUUGAGCCCUGGGGUCGAAACUUGGAGUAAAAGCCUCCUCAAAGUCGGUUUCACCCGAAAGGCAAGAGUCCUUCUCGGACUCCAGGGCUAGACGCCAGGGUUCCGGUGUCUACCCCCUAGACGCCAGGGUUCCUGGCGUCUAGCCUCUGGUCUCCGCAAAACUUCCUUUUGCACUUUCCAAAAGCCUCGUGGGCUUUCCCCUUUGGCCGAGAUAAAGUGUUCUCGUGCCCAAACAUUUCGGGAAACAUCCGGAACCCCUUCUAGUGAAUUCCGGAACCCUUCCGGAGAUCAAACACUACUAUCCACAUAUCAAUCUUUACUUCCAGAACAUUCCGGAGUUCCUCGUCAUAUCUGUGAUCUCAUCCAAAACUCUGAACAACAUUCGGUCACCAACAUACAUAACUCAUAGUACUAUAUCGCCAACGAACGUUAAGCGUGCGGACCCUACGGGUUCGAGAACUAUGUAGACAUGACCGAGACACCUCUCUGGUCAAUAACCAAUAGCGGGACCUGGAUGCCCAUAUUGGCUCCUACAUAUUCUACGAAGAUCUUUAUCGGUCAGACCACAUAACAACAUACGUUGUUCCCUUUGUCAUCGGUAUGUUACUUGCCCGAGAUUCGAUCGUCGGUAUCUCAAUACCUAGUUCAAUCUCGUUACCGGCAAGUCUCUUUACUCGUUUCGUAAUACAUCAUCCCGCAACUAACUCAUUAGUUGCAAUGCUUGCAAGGCUUAUAGUGAUGUGCAUUACCGAGUGGGCCCAGAGAUACCUCUCCGACAAUCGGAGUGACAAAUCCCAAUCUCGAAAUACGCCAACCCAACAAGUACCUUUGGAGACACCUGUAGAGCACCCUUAUAAUCACCCAGUUACGUUGUGAUGUUUGGUGGCACACAAAGUGUUCCUCCGAUAAACGGGAGUUGCAUAAUCUCAUAGUCAUAGGAACAUGUAUAAGUCAUGAAGAAAGCAAUAGCAACAAACUAAACGAUCAAGUGCUAUGCUAACGGAAUGGGUCAAGUCAAUCACAUCAUUCUCCUAAUGAUGUGAUCCCGUUAAUAAAAUGACAACUCAUGUCUAUGGUUAGGAAACACAACCAUCUUUAAUCAAGGAGCUAGUUAAAUAGAGGCAUACUAGUGACACUCUGUUUGUCUAUGUAUUCACACAUGUAUUAUGUUUCCGGUUAAUACAAUUCUAGCAUGAAUAAUAAACAUUUAUCAUGAUAUAAGGAAAUAAAUAAUAACUUUAUUAUUGCCUCUAGGGCAUAUUUCCUUCACUGAUUGCAUAACCGGAAAAUUUCGGGAGUUUAUAAGUGGGAAUUCAAGUAGCUCUUAGGAUAUCUUUCCGACAGAUGUAUGAUAUGAAAUUGGGGUUCGACGUCUAGUGGUCCGCCUAUCCAUGGUUAGUUUUACAGUGGUCUCAUUGUGUCUUAAAGAGUCCUUGGCUAUGCCGACUCGGGGACGCUUCGUAUGUCAUGUGCACUGCCUUGUACAUGAUGGUGCUGUACGAUCGAGCCCGUGUAGGCCCCACCAUGAAAACUUCAGAUGAAAUCUCUAUCAUAUGUUUGUUCUGGCUUAUUUUGCAAGCCAAUCCUUUGUUUUGUUUUGAGUUGUGGUAUUCGAGUUGCUUCAAUGUCAAGUGUUGAUUCCAUACCUUCUCUAAUGGUGUUCUCAUACUCCGAUGCAAAUACCAAUCCUUCAUGAUAAUCGAGAUUGUCAUGUCAAUCCUUUUUAACCGGUGAGUUUCUCUUCAAGUGGAUCCGAACAUUUCAACAUCCGCAAGAUCAAGUAUCAGUUCUUCUCAACGGUGUUUGCGUCAUUCGUUCCAAGUUGCCUUUGUUUUCCCACCCACCCACCCUUUUUUUUCUUCAAGGACUCGGAUUUCUUAGUUCGUUAUCCAUUUUAUGGAUAUGAAGUCUCCCCAUUCCUUUCAGUCAAUGUCCUUAUCCGGUGAUUCUCAUGAAGACCCUAACGGAGUUUCAAGUUCGUCACUCUUCACUCAUUUUCUUCUCCGGUGGAUUCUAGUCAAGCCUUGUCAAUCAUAUCUUUUCCUUGUUUCAAUACUUUCUCUUGCUGGUGCUCCUCUUAAUCAUCCAUUUCUCGCUAUUCAAUUGUGCCGGAGUGAUGAAGAUAUCUCAAAAGAUUUGUGUCUCCAUUAUCAAUCCGUCCAAGAUAUCUCGAGGUUGUUAUCUCAUUCAAGCCGUUUAAUUCAACCGGUGCUAUCUCCUUUGCAAGUAAUCGUUCAACGGUGUAUCUUUUUAGUGGACCCUAACCCACAGGUCUUUUCCAGGAUCUUACCUGACUCUUCUAAUUUUACCGGAGCUAUUCUCAAAUCUUUUAAAGCUUGACGUGAAUAUGAAUUAUCAUCAGUCAAAUGUCUUCUCCAAGAUCUGUCAAAAUCUUUUCAUCGUUGGCUCAACCUCUUCAUUUUGAUUCUUCCGGAGUGUCUAAACAAUUCAUGGUUGUGUUUCUUGUCGUCAUUGUCGGCGUUCUGGGAACGGGGGUCCCCAGACUUGCCUGCCUGCGGCCUGCGGCGUGGCUCAAAGGGGGGCCCAGCACGGCCCAUCUUCAUCAACACAAGACUCAAGACCCUCGCGAGGGGCCAAGCCUCGUGGGGCGGACGAUGUGGACCUUCCUUAGGCGCGACCUCGUCAGGCUGGCUCGCGAGGAGGCGGAGAAAUCAAGGCGGGGUACCUCGCGAGGUGCCCGUGACGCAAGCCAUGACGAUCAAAGGCGCCAGGCGGGUGCCAGCCCGCGCAGCGUCCUCCUUUCCUAUUUGGUGCAAAGGGAGCAAGCGCAGCCGCGGAGUACUGAGGCAUCAGGCAAAGGUUGCCAUUUCGGUGCAAUGAGACCAAGACCAGGAGGACUAUGAGAUGGAGGUCACCAUGGAGCCCAAGACGCGUCAUCACCAGAGCUUUGCGCAGGCGAAGACUACUUUUGUCAGGAUAGCUGAUACUUGCUGUCCCCCUUCAAAUUAGCCCGCCAUUGUUGGCUCCCUUCCCGCUCGAUAUUUGGGAAGAGGACCAGGGCCUCUAUAAAUAGGACCAGCCACCCACAUAACAAGGGGGGCGGUGAGUGUGAGUAAGUAAGAGAGAGAGAGAGAAGGGUGACUGAACUCCUCCUAGCAGUUCGUCGCCCUAGCCAAGAGCAUACCCUCGCGAGGCUGUUCUUCCUUGUAUUGUUCAUCAUCAUCAGCCCCAAGAGGCAAUCCACCCCCCAAACACUGGAGUAGGGUAUUACACCACAACGGUGGCCCGAACCAGUAUAAACCUUGUGUCUCUUGUGCAGUUCUUUCAGUAGUCUAGAUCUUUGCGAGACGGUGAGGUAGAAGGCGUAAUCUUCGCACGCACCCCAGAGUUUGAACAUUAAGGGUCUGCCGAAACCUGAAAUCCGACAUCUGGCGCACCAGGUAGGGGUGCGCCGGAACUCGCCUUCCACCGCUCCGUUCUCCUCCGACCAUCACGCUCAUGUCUGACGCUCGUCGAGCCCGCGCGGAGCGCCGGGCCGCCCCCGAGCUCGUCCACGCCGCAGGGGGCUCUCCUGCGCCAUCCCAUCGCGCUACACCAACACCCCCAGUCGUCGCGGCCCUCCUGGGCGGCUCGCAGGCGCCGCCCACAAGUCGCCACGUCAAGCCGUUCGUCCGCCGAGUCAGCGCCGCUUCCACGCGGCAGGGGGCUCCCCUGGAUCGGGCGGCGCCCAAGACCGGCCUGACCUUCAGCUCUGAGGACCACCCCUCCAACUCGGCCUGCUCGGGCGUGCUCCCCAUGUUGUGCACCCCCACCAUCUGCCAGGUGGCCGUCACCAGAACCCUCGUUGAUGGCGGCGCGGGCCUCAGCGUGCUCUCGGUCGAGGCCUUCAACCUCCUCCGCAUACCCCUGGAACGGCUGCAACCCAGCCGGCCCUUCUCAGGCGUUGGGGGCAAGUCGUCCAGUUCCUUGGGGCAGAUCUGGCUCCCAGUGACCUUCGGCACCUACGACAACUUCCGCACGGAGCUGGUUGACUUCGACAUCGCCCCAAUCGGCCUCCCCUACAACGCCAUCCUCGGCUAUCCAGCGCUGGCCCGAUUCAUGGCCGCGACGCACCCGGCGUACAACCUCAUGAAGAUGCCCGGGAGCAGCGGUGUCCUUACUGUGCACGGAGACACCGGGGACGCGCUGUGGGCGCUCAAGCUCACCUUCAAGACGGCGGCGUCGGCACAGCCCGCCGACUUGCAGACCCCCGGGCCCAAGGGGGCUGCACCCGCCAAGAAGAAGCAGUUGUUCACCCAAGACAAGGCAGAAACCAAGCAGAUACCCGUCGAUGAGGACGGGUCCACCGACGCCACUUUCACCAUAGGCGCCCACCUCAAACCCGAGCAGGAGGAGGCCCUGGUCGGGUUCCUGCGCGCAAACAAGAAGGUAUUCGCUUGGGAGCCGGACCAGUUGGCAGGGAUCCCCAGGAGUGUAAUCGAGCAUCACCUCAACGUGUGCGCCAACGUGCGCCCUGUGAAGCAGAAGGCCAGGCGGCAGUCCACAAAAAAGCAGGCCUUCAUCAUCCAAGAGACCCGCAAAUUAGAAGCCGCUGGGGUCAUCCGCGAGGUCCGAUACCCAUAUUGGUUGGCCAACCCUGUCGUUGUGCCAAAGAAGGGAGGGAAGGAGCGUAUGUGUGUCGACUUCACCAACCUCAACGAAGCAUGCCCGCAAGAUCCGUUCCCACUCCCCUGCAUCGACCAGAUCAUCGAUUCCACUGCGGAAUGCGACCUGUUAUGCUUCCUGGAUGCCUUCUCUGGGUAUCACCAGGUCAAGAUGGCGGUAGAAGACAUCGAGAAGACAGCCUUCCUAACCCCGUGUGGGGUAUACUGCUACACGUGCAUGCCAUUCGGGCUGCGUAAAGCAGGGGCGACCUUUCAGCGGCUGAUGCACAUCACCUUGGGCCUGCAGCUCAGGAAGAAUGUUGAAGCUUAUGUUGAUGAUAUCAUGGUAAAGUCUCGGGAGGCCAAGACCUUGAUACAGGACUUGGAGGAAACCUUCGCGAGCCUCAACGCAGUGAACCUACGGCUCAACCCAGAGAAGUGUGUGUUUGAAGUCCCCUCGGGCAAGCUCGUGGGUUUCCUCGUGUCCCACCGAGGCAUCGAGGCUAACCCAGAGAAGGUCAAGGCGGUGGAAGAUAUGAGCCCGCCAAAUACCCUCAGAGAAAUGCAGAAGCUCACGGGGCGCGUGACCGCGCUAGGGCGCUUCAUCUCCAAGUUGGGAGAGCGAGCCCUGCCCUUCUUCCAGCUAAUGAAGAAGAAGGGGCCCUUCGAGUGGACUGAAGAGGCCGACAAGGCAUUCCAGGAUCUCAAGAGAUACCUGACCAGCCCACCGGUCAUGGUGGCACCGCGCCCUCAGGAGCCCCUGGUGCUUUACCUCGCAGCCACUCCCUACUCCGCCAGCGCAGCCUUGGUGGCAGUCAGAGAGGAGCGCCGAAUCAAAACCAUGGCAGCAGCCCGGGACAAGGCAGAACAGGGACAAGGAAGGCCUGCAGAAACCGCCACCGCGGCUGAGGAGGAUCAGCCGCCGCAGAGGGGCGCACCAGAGGCGGAAGAGGCCCCUCUUCCAGAUGGCCAGUCUCAGGAGGUCUCAUUGCCUCAAGAGGCGCCACGGUCUCCGGAAGGAGCCACCAGCACUGACGCACUCCGCCUCAUUGAGCACCCAGUGUACUUCGUCAGCACAGUGUUGCGGGAUGCAAGAGCACGGUAUCCCAUGCCUCAGAAACUCCUCCUCGCGCUACUGAUGGCUUCGCGCAAGCUGCAACACUAUUUUCAGGGUCACCACAUCAAGGUCGUCUCGUCAUACCCCCUGGAGAGAGUGCUCAGGAGCCCUAAUUCAGCUGGAAGGGUCGCUGAGUGGAACAUAGAACUGCAAGCGUUUCAGCUCGAAUUCAUCAUGACCAGGGUCAUCAAGGGAGCAGCAUUGGCGGAUUUUGUGGCAGAGUGGACGGAGGCGCCAGGCCUCAAGGCCAAUGAGGAUCGGUCCCUAUCCCCGGGAAGCGAGGCGCCAGAAGGCUGGGUCAUGUACUUCGAUGGGGCGUUCUCCAGGCAUGGCGCUGGAGCUGGGGCGGUGCUUAUAUCGCCCACACAGGACAAGCUCUAUUACGCUGUGCAACUCUGUUUCCAGCAAGGCGAAAAUGUCUCCAACAACAUAGCGGAGUAUGAAGGUUUAAUAGCGGGCUUGAAGGCCGCGGCUGCCCUGGGAGUGAAACGCCUCACCAUCAAGGGCGAUUCGCAGCUCCUCGUCAAUUUCUCCAACAAGGUGUACGAGCCGAAGGAUGAGCACAUGGAAGCCUACCUUGCGGAAGUCCGCAAGAUGGAGAAGCAAUUCUGGAGGUUGGAGUUGCAGCAUGUGCCCCGUGGCACCAAUCAGGAGGCUGACGACAUUGCCAAACGUGCGUCCAGACGGUUACCCCAGGAGCCUGGCGUUUUUGAGGAGCGACUCUUCAAGCCCUCAGCUCUGCCGUCAUUAUCAAACAUGGCUCAGCCCUGGGAGGAGCUCCCCCAGCCACCUGCCUCAGGAGCUCCGACCUGUGGUCCGGCCUCAGGAGCGCGCCUGCUCCUGACGAUAGAACCUCAGGAGGGAUGUUGGAUCACGGAGCUCCGGAGCUACUUAGCGCAAGGGACCUUGCCGGAGAAGGAGGAGGAAGCGGAGCGAGUGGCACGCCAGGCCACGACAUACUGCAUCAAAGAUGGAGAGCUCUACCGGAAGCGACCAAACGAUGUAUCCCUGCACUGUAUCUCCAGGGAGCAAGGGAAGGAACUACUGGAAGAUAUACACGGCGGAGACUGCAGACAUCGUUCAUCAUCGCGGACCCUCGUCGGCAAGGCAUUCUGCAGUGGGUUUUAUUGGCCCACCGCGCUCAAUGACGCCGUGGAACUAGUGAAAGCUUGUGAAGCCUGCUAGUUCCACGCCAAGCAGAUCCAUCAGCCAGCAGGAGGCUUGCAGACUAUCCCCCUUUUGUGGCCAUUCGCAGUCUGGGGGCUGGACAUCUUGGGCCCGUUUCCUCGGGCGCCAGGGGGCCACCGCUACCUCUAUGUUGCCGUGGACAAAUUCACCAAGUGGACUGAAGUAGAGGCUGUCCGCACCAUUCCCGCAGGUUCCGCGAUCAAGUUCAUCAAGGGCAUCGUGAGCCAGUUCGGGGUGCCGAAUUGCAUCAUCACAGACAACGGUUCGUAGUUCACCAAUAACCUCUUCAAAACAUACUGUGCUAACCUUGGAACGCAGAUAUGCUACGCCUCAGUGGCGCAUCCCCGAAGCAACGGCCAGGCCGAGCGAGCCAACGCGGAGGUCCUGAGGGGCCUCAAGACCAGGACGUUCAAGAAGAAGCUGGAGGCCUGUGGUAGAGGUUGGUACGACGAGCUUCAGUCCAUGCUGUGGUCCAUCCGCACCGCCACGACCAAACCAACUGGAGAGACCCCGUUCUUCCUGGUCUACGGAGCGGAAGCGGUCCUCCCUCAUGAGGUCAGACAUCGCUCCGCGUGGGUCCUAGCGUUCGACGAGGCGCAGCAGGACGCCAUGCGGGGGAUGGACCUCAUGUUGGGGGAGGAACGUCGCCGAGAAGCCGCGCUGCGAGCGACGAGGUACCAGCAAGCAUUGCAGCGAUAUCACUGCCGCAACAUCCGUCCCAGGACUCUUGAGGUAGGAGACCUCGUGCUUAGGCGGGUUCUCUCCAGGGAGGGACUGCACAAGCUCUCUCCCAUGUGGGAGGGCCCGUUCAAGGUUGUUCAUGUUUCUAGGCCCAGCUCCGCGCGCUUGGAGACUCAGGAGGGAGUGCCGGUCCAGAAUGCAUGGAACAUCCAGCACCUCCAGAGGUUCUACCCCUGAAAAGGCCCAGAGCCUGUGAAGCAAGACGAGUGCCUGUGAAGCUAUCACAUUUUGGAAAAGGCCUAGAGCCUGUGAAGCAAGGCGAGUGCCUGUGAAGCUAUCGCAUUUUGGAAAAGGCCCAGAGCCUGUGAAGCAAGGCGAGUGCCUGUGAAGCUAUCGCAUUUUGGAAAAGGCCCAGAGCCUGUGAAGCAAGGCGAGUGCCUGUGAAGCUAUCACAUUUUGGAAAAGGCCCAAAGCCUGUGAAGCAAGGCGAGCGCCUGUGAAGCUAUCACAUUUUGGAAAAGGCCCAGAGCCUGUGAAGCAAGGCGAGUGCCUGUGAAGCUAUCGUGUUUUGGAAAAGGCCCGGAGCCUGUGAAGAAGGCCAACGCCUGUGAAGCUCGCCGCCCGUGACACUCUCACGUAAUAAUGAGUGGGGCUGUACACGCCCCGGAGUCUCAGGAGUGCCGGCCUCAGGCCCUGGGGCUCCCUCCCACGCCCAGUGGCAGCACUUAGCUCCGCACUGGUGAGAAGACGUCGAAGACUAGAUUAGGUGCCGGACGCGCCUUUUUCAUUUGCUUUCCGCAGUUGGCUUGUUUGUUCGCAUUUGAAGUUUAAUUGAAGUUGCCGCCGUCGUUGGUUUGUGGUUCAUCGAUUUUUGCUCCCCCGCUUUGAUUUCUCUUGCGCAAGGCCUCGUGAGAGGGCGGCAGCUGAACGCCCUCACGAGCGUUCCUAUCCUAGUCAUUCAAAGGGUUCGCGACCUGGGCCCCUUACAGGAGCACCCCUCUAGUCCGUGCCCCACGGGCACAACGACACAAACAAAGGGCUUGGGUCGGUCGCCCCCCCCACGGCCGGGGUCGGGAACUAUCCACGCGCAGACACACAACCGAAAGGCACGAAAACGGAAUCAAGGUAAUGGUUAAUAGCAAUAACCCCGAACACGCCCCCGCGGGGCUCCAUGCAGUUGUUUUCUUUUAUGCAGGAAACAAAAGGAGAGAAAGGACAAGCCCAGCGUGGCUCGCCUCGCACCGGCCUGCGGAGGAGACUCGGGCUGUCUCUGAGGAUCAAGCAGACUCCCUCUCGCGCUUCACCGGGGCGCGACGGCGGGCGGACGUACUGCCGCCUCCCAAGCAAGCGCGACGGCGCGGGGGCUGACUGCGGCCACCGCUGGAAGAGUCGCUUGAAGAAGAGUCGAUGAAGCUUGGGGAGCCUUGAGCGCCGCCAACCAUGCGGGCGCUGUCUCCUCCGUCGUCGUCGAGGCUGGGUCCCCGGGCGCGAUCGUCGUCCUCAGGGCAACACCCUGCGCGGCGACCAUCUUCCCCAAACACCCUCACAUAGAGGGUGGCAUCACCGUCAAACUUAAAGUGCAGGGUGCACCGGCGCUCCAGGACGCGAGCACGGGCAAACGCCUGCCAACCACAGGUCAGGGCCAAGCUCCCAGUGGCGGAGACCUCCGGUGCAGCCCAUGAGGCCUGGCUGCAACAGCCAUCCGCCUGUAGCCAGAGGCCGCCCGGGGCACCGGCCGGGAGCUCACCAAGGAGGAAGCGAGGGAGUUGGAGCCGGGCGAUAGUAGGCUCCGCCGACUAUACGACGAACUCUGGCAGCACCUCCGGAACGCGAAAGUGUGGCCUAGGGGAGCGCGCAACCAAGGCGCGUCCUCCGUCCAUAGCAGCUCGUGUUGGGGAACGUAGUAAUUUCAAAAAAUUUCCUACGCACACGCAAGAUCAUGGUGAUGCAUAGCAACGAGAGGGGAGAGUGUUGUCUACGUACCCUCGUAGACCAAAGCGGAAGCAUUGACGCAACGUAGAGGAAGUAGUCGUACGUCUUCCCGGUCCGACCGAUCCAAGCACCGUUACUCCGGCACCUCCGAGUUCUUGACACACGUACAACUCGAUGACGCACCCCGGGCACCGAUCCAGCAAAGCCUCGAGGAGGAGUUUCGUCAGCACGACGGCGUGGUGACGAUCUUGAUGUUCAACUAUCGCAGGGCUUCGCCUAAGCACCACUACAAUAUGAUCGAGGUGUAAUAUCGUGGAGGGGGGCACCGCACACGGCUAAGGAAUGAUCACGAAGAUCAACUUGUGUGUUCUAGGGUGCCCCCUGCCCCCGUAUAUAAAGGAGCAAGGGGGAGGCUGGCCGGCCCUUGGUGCGCCAAGGAGAGGGGGGAGUCCUUCUCCUAGUGGGAGUAGGACUCCCCUUUCCUAGUCCAACUAGGAAUAGGAAGGGGAAGGAAAGAGAGGGAGAGGGAGAGGGAAAGGGGGGCCGCGCCCCCCUCCUAGUCCUAUUCGGACUCCCCAUGAGGGGGGGCGCGCCACCUCCUGGGCUGCUGCCCUCUCUCUCCCCUCAGGCCCAAUAAGGCCCAUUACUUCCCCGGGGGGUUCCGGUAACCCCUCCGGCACUUCGGUUUUAUCCGAAAUCACCCGGAACAAUUCCGGUGUCCGAAUAUAGUCGUCCAAUAUAUCGAUCUUUAUGUCUCGACCAUUUCGAGACUCCUCGUCAUGUCCGUGAUCACAUUCGGGACUCCGAACAUCCUUCGGUACAUCAAAAUACACAAACUCAUAAAGAAACUGUCAUCAUAACUUUAAGCGUGCAGACCCUACAGUUCGAGAACAAUGUAGACAUGACCGAGAUACGUCUCCGGUCAAUAACCAAUAGCGGGACCUGGAUGCCCAUAUUGGCUCCUACAUAUUCUACGAAGAUCUUUAUCGGUCAGACCGCAUAACAACAUACGUUGUUCCCUUUGUCAUCGGUAUGUUACUUGCCCGAGAUUCGAUCGUCGGUAUCCAAUACCUAGUUCAAUCUCGUUAUCGGCAAGUCUCUUUACUCGUUCCGUAAUACAUCAUCUCACAACUAACACAUUAGUUGUAAUGCUUGCAAGGCUUAUGUGAUGUGCAUUACCGAGAGGGCCCAGAGAUACCUCUCCGACAUUCGGAGUGACAAAUCCUAAUCUCGAAAUACGCCAACCCAACAAGUACCUUUGGAGACACCUGUAGAGCACCUUUAUGAUCACCCAGUUAUGUUGUGACGUUUGGUAGCACACAAAGUGUUCCUCCGGUAAACGGGAGUUGCAUAAUCUCAUAGUCACAGGAACAUGUAUAAGUCAUGAAGAAAGCAAUAGCAACAUACUAAACGAUUGGGUGCUAAGCUAAUGGAAUGGGUCAUGUCAAUCAGAUCAUUCAACUAAUGAUGUGACCUCGUUAAUCAAAUAACAACUCUUUGUUCAUGGUUAGGAAACAUAACCAUCUUUGAUUAACGAGCUAGUCAAGUAGAGGCAUACUAGUGACACUUUGUUUGUCUAUGUAUUCACACAUGUAUUAUGUUUCCGGUUAAUACAAUUCUAGCAUGAAUAAUAAACAUUUAUCAUGAUAUAAGGAAAUAAAUAAUAACUUUAUUAUUGCCUCUAGGGCAUAUUUCCUUCAGUCUCCCACUUGCACUAGAGUCAAUAAUCUAGAUUACACAGUGAUGAUUCUAACACCUAUGGAGCCUUGGUGCUGAUCAUGUUUUGCUCGUGGAAGAGGCUUAGUCAACGGGUCUGCUACAUUCAGAUCCGUAUGUAUCUUGCAAAUCUCUAUGUCUCCCACCUGGACUAGAUCCCGGAUGGAAUUGAAGCGUCUCUUGAUGUGCUUGGUUCUUUUGUGAAAUCUGGAUUCCUUUGCCAAGGCAAUUGCACGAGUAUUGUCACAAAAGAUUUUCAUUGGACCCGAUGCACUAGGUAUGACACCUAGAUCGGAUAUGAACUCCUUCAUCCAGACUCCUUUGUUUGCUGCUUCUGAAGCAGCUAUGUACUCCACUUCACAUGUAGAUCCCGCCACGACGCUUUGUUUAGAACUGCACCAACUGACAGCUCCACCAUUUAAUGUGAACACAUAUCCAGUUUGCGAUUUAGAAUCAUCCGGAUCAGUGUCAAAGCUUGCAUCAACGUAACCGUUUACAAUGAGCUCUUUGUCACCUCCAUAUAUGAGAAACAUAUCCUUAGUCCUUUUCAGGUACUUCAGGAUGUUCUUGACCGCUGUCUAGUGAUCCACUCCUGGAUUACUUUGGUACCUCCCUGCUAAACUUAUAGCAAGGCACACAUCAGAUCUGGUACACAGCAUUGCAUACAUGAUAGAGCCUAUGGCUGAAGCAUAGGGAACAUCUUUCAUUUUCUCUCUAUCUUCUGCAGUGGUCGGGCAUUGAGUCUGACUCAACUUCACACCUUGUAACACAGGCAAGAACCCUUUCUUUGCUUGAUCCAUUUUGAACUUCUUCAAAAUCUUGUCAAGGUAUGUGCUUUGUGAAAGUCCAAUUAAGCGUCUUGAUCUAUCUCUAUAGAUUUUUAUGCCUAAUAUGUAAGCAGCUUCACCGAGGUCUUUCAUUGAAAAACUCUUAUUCAAGUAUCCCUUUAUGCUAUCCAGAAAUUCUAUAUCAUUUCCAAUCAGUAAUAUGUCAUCCACAUAUAAUAUCAGAAAUGCUAUAGAGCUCCCACUCACUUUCUUGUAAAUACAGGCUUCUCCGAAAGUCUGUAUAAACCCAAAUGCUUUGAUCACACUAUCAAAGCGUCUAUUCCAACUCCGAGAGGCUUGCACCAGUCCAUAAAUGGAUCGCUGGAGCUUCCACACUUUGUUAGCUCCCUUUGGAUCGACAAAACCUUCCGGUUGCAUCAUAUACAACUCUUCUUCCAGAAAUCCAUUCAGGAAUGCAGUUUUGACAUCCAUCUGCCAAAUUUCAUAAUCAUAAAAUGCGGCAAUUGCUAACAUGAUUCGGACAGACUUAAGCAUCGCUACGGGUGAGAAGGUCUCAUCGUAGUCAACCCCUUGAACUUGUCGAAAACCUUUUGCGACAAGUCGAGCUUUGUAGACAAUAAUAUUACCGUCAGCGUCAUUCUUCUUCUUGAAGAUCCAUUUAUUCUCAAUUGCUUGCCGAUCAUCGGGCAAGUCAACCAAAGUCCAUACUUUGUUCUCAUACAUGGAUCCCAUCUCAGAUUUCAUGGCUUCAAGCCAUUUUGCGGAAUCUGGGAUCACCAUCGCUUCUUCAUAGUUCGUAGGUUCAUCAUGAUCUAGCAGCAUGAUUUCCAGAACGGGAUUUCCGUACCACUCUGGCGCGGUUCUCACUCUGGUUGAUCUACGAGGUUCAGUAGUAUCUUGUCCUGAAGUUUCAUGAUCAUUAUCAUUAGCUUCCUCACUAAUUGGUGUAGGUGUCGUAGAAACAGUUUUCUGUGAUGUACUACUUUCCAAUAAGGGAGCAGGUACAGUUACCUCAUCAAGUUCUACUUUCCUCCCACUCACAUCUUUCAAGAGAAACUCCUUCUCCAGAAAGUUUCCGAAUUUAGCAACAAAAGUCUUGCCUUCGGAUCUGUGAUAGAAGGUGUAUCCAAUAGUUUCCUUUGGAUAUCCUAUGAAGACACAUUUCUCCGAUUUGGGUUCGAGCUUAUCAGGUUGAAGCUUUUUCACAUAAGCAUCGCAGCCCCAAACUUUCAGAAACGACAACUUUGGUUUCUUGCCAAACCAUAGUUCAUAAGGCGUUGUCUCAAUGGAUUUUGAUGGUGCCCUAUUCAACGUGAAUGCGGCCGUCUCUAAAGCAUAACCCCAAAACGAUAGCGGUAAAUCAGUAAGAGACAUCAUAGAUCGCACCAUAUCUAGUAAAGUACGAUUACAACGUUCGGACACACCAUUACGCUGUGGUGUUCCAGGUGGCGUGAGUUGCGAAACUAUUCCGCAUUGCUUCAAAUGAACACCAAACUCGUAACUCAAAUAUUCUCCUCCAUGAUCAGAUCGUAGAAACUUUAUUUUCUUGUUACGAUGAUUUUCAACUUCACUCUGAAAUUCUUUGAACUUUUCAAAUGUUUCAGACUUAUGUUUCAUUAAGUAGAUAUAUCCAUAUCUGCUUAAGUCAUCUGUGAAGGUGAGAAAAUAACGAUAUCCGCCACGAGCCUCAAUAUUCAUCGGACCACAUACAUCUGUAUGUAUGAUUUCCAACAAAUCUGUUGCUCUCUCCAUAGUACCGGAGAACGGUGUUUUAGUCAUCUUGCCCAUGAGGCACGGUUCGCAAGUACCAAGUGAUUCAUAAUCAAAAAGUCCAUCAGUAUGGAGUUUCUUCAUGCGUUUUACACCGAUAUGACCUAAACGGCAGUGCCACAAAUAAGUUGCACCAUCAUUAUCAACUCUGCAUCUUUUGGCUUCAACAUUAUGAAUAUUUGUAUCUCUACUAUCGAGAUUCAAUAAGAAUAGACCACUCUUCAAGGGUGCAUGACCAUAAAAGAUAUUACUCAUAUAAAUAGAAUAACCAUUAUUCUCUGAUUUAAAUGAAUAACCGUCUCGCAUUAAACAAGAUCCAGAUAUAAUGUUCAUGCUCAACGCUGGCACCAAAUAACAAUUAUUUAGGUCUAAUACUAAUCCCGAAGGUAGAUGUAGAGGUAGCGUGCCGACCGCGAUCACAUCGACUUUGGAACCGUUUCCCACGCGCAUCGUCACCUCGUCCUUAGCCAAUCUUCGCUUAAUCUGUAGUCCCGGUUUCGAGUUGCAAAUAUUAGCAACAGAACCAGUAUCAAAUACCCAGGUGCUACUGCGAGCAUUAGUAAGGUACACAUCAAUAACAUGUAUAUCGCAUAUACCUUUGUUCACCUUGCCAUCCUUCUUAUCCGCCAAAUACUUGGGGCAGUUCCGCUUCCAGUGACCAGUCUGCUUGCAGUAGAAGCACUCAGUUUCAGGCUUAGGUCCAGACUUGGGUUUCUUCUCUUGAGCAGCAACUUGCUUGCCGUUCUUCUUGAAGUUCCUCCUCUUCUUCUCUUUGCCCUUUUUCUUGAAACUAGUGGUCUUGUUGACCAUCAACACUUGAUGCUCCUUUUUGAUUUCUACCUCCGCAGCUUUCAGCAUUGCGAAGAGCUCGGGAAUAGUUUUAUUCAUCCCUUGCAUAUUAUAGUUCAUCAUGAAGCUCUUGUAGCUUGGUGGCAGUGAUUGGAGAAUUCUGUCAAUGACACAAUCAUCUGGAAGAUUAACUCCCAUCUGAAUCAAGUGAUUAUUAUAACCAGACAUUUUGAGUAUAUGCUCACUGACAGAACUAUUCUCCUCCAUCUUGCAGCUAUAGAACUUAUUGGAGACUUCAUAUCUCUCAAUCCGGGCAUUUGCUUGAAAUAUUAACUUCAACUCCUGGAACAUCUCAUAUGCUCCAUGACGUUCAAAACGUCGUUCAAGUCCCGAUUCUAAGCCGUAAAGCAUGGCACACUGAACUAUCGAGUAGUCAUCAUCUUUGCUCUGCCAGACGUUCAUAACAUCUGGUGUUGCUCCAGCAGCAGGCCUGGCACCCAGCGGUGCUUCCAGGACGUAAUUCUUCUGUGCAGCAAUGAGGAUAAUCCUCAAGUUACGGACCCAGUCCGUGUAAUUUCUACCAUCAUCUUUCAACUUUGCUUUCUCAAGGAACACAUUAAAAUUCAACGGAACAACAGCAUGGGCCAUCUAUCUACAAUCAAACAUACAUAAGCAAGAUACUAUCAGGUACUAAGUUCAUGAUAAAUUUAAGUUUAAUUAAUCAAAUUACUUUAAAGAACUCCCACUUAUAUAGACAUCCCUCUAAUCCUCUAAGUGAUCACGUGAUCCAAAUCAACUAAACCAUGUCCGAUCAUCACGUGAGAUGGAGUAGUUUCAUUGGUGAACAUCGCUAUGUUGAUCAUAUCUACUAUAUGAUUCACGCUCGACGGUCUCCGUGUUCCGAGGCCAUAUCUGCAUAUGCUUGGCUCGUCAAGUAUAACCUGAGUAUUCCGCGUGUGCAACUGUUUUGCACCCGUUGUAUUUGAACAUAGAGCCUAUCACACCCGAUCAUCACGUGGUGUCUCAGCACGAAGAACUUUCGCAACGGUGCAUACUCAGGGAGAAGACUUCUUGAUAAUUUUAGUGAGAGAUCAUCUUAUAAUGCUACCGUCAAUCAAAGCAAGAUAAGAUGCAUAAAAGAUAAACAUCACAUGCAAUCAAUAUAAGUGAUAUGAUAUGGCCAUCAUCAUCUUGUGCCUGUGAUCUCCAUCUCCGAAGCACCGUCAUGAUCACCAUCGUCACCGGCGCGACACCUUGAUCUCCAUCGUAGCAUCGUUGUCGUCUCGCCAAUCUUAUGCUUCCACGACUAUCGCUACCGCUUAGUGAUAAAGUAAAGCAUUGCAGCGCGAUUGCAUUGCAUACAAUAAAGCGACAACCAUAUGGCUCCUGCCAGUUGCCGAUAACUCGGUUACAAAACAUGAUCAUCUCAUACAAUAAAAUUUAGCAUCAUGUCUUGACCAUAUCACAUCACAACAUGCCCUGCAAAAACAAAUUAGACGUCCUCUACUUUGUUUGUUGCAAGUUUUACGUGGCUGCUACGGGCUUAAGCAAGAACCAAUCUUACCUACGCAUCAAAACCACAACGAUAGUUUGUCAAGUUGGUGCUGUUUUAACCUUCGCAAGGACCGGGCGUAGCCACACUCAGUUCAACUAAAGUUGGAGAAACUGUCACCCGCAAGCCACCUAUGUGCAAAGCACGUCGGGAGAACUGGUCUCGCGUAAGCGUACGCGUAAUGUCGGUCCGGGCCGCUUCGUCCAACAAUACCGCCGAACCAAAGUAUGACAUGCUGGUAAGCAGUAUGACUUAUAUCGCCCACAACUCACUUGUGUUCUACUCAUGCAUAUAACAUCGACACAUAAAACCUAGGCUCGGAUGCCACUGUUGGGGAACGUAGUAAUUUCAAAAAAAUUCCUACGCACACGCAAGAUCAUGGUGAUGCAUAGCAACGAGAGGGGAGAGUGUUGUCUACGUACCCUCGUAGACCGAAGCAGAAGUGUUGACGCAACGUAGAGGAAGUAGUCGUAUGUAUUCCCGGUCCGACCGAUCCAAGCACCGUUACUCCGGCACCUCCAAGUUCUUGACACACGUACAACUCGAUGACGCACCCCGGGCUCCGAUCCAGCAAAGCUUCGGGGAGGAGUUUCGUCAGCACGACGGCGUGGUGACAAUCUUGAUGUUCAUGUCGCAGGGCUUCGCCUAAGCACCACUACAAUAUGAUCGAGCUGUAAUAUCGUGGAGGGGGGCACCGCACACGGCUAAGGAACGAUCACGAAGAUCAACUUGUGUGUUCUAGGGUGCCCCUGCCCCCAUAUAUAAAGGAGAAAGGGGGAGGCCGGACGGCCCUUGGUGCGCCAAGGAGAGGGGGGGAGUCCUUCUCCUAGUGGGAGUAGGACUCCCCUUUCCUAGUCCAACUAGGAAUAGGGAGGGGGAAGGAAAGAGAGGGAGAGGGAGAGGGAAAGGGGGGCCGCCCCCCCCUCCUAGUCCUAUUCAGACUCCCCAUGAGGGGGGCGCGCCACCUCCUGGGCUGCUGCCCUCUCUCUCCCCUCAGGCCCAAUAAGGCCCAUUACUUCCCCGGGGGGUUCGGUAACCCCUCCAGCACUCUGGUUUUAUCCGAAAUCACCCAGAACAAUUCCGGUGUCCGAGUAUAGUCGUCCAAUAUAUCGAUCUUUAUGUCUCGACCAUUUUGAGACUCCUCGUCAUGUCCGUGAUCACAUCUGGGACUCCGAACAUCCUUCGGUACAUCAAAAUACACAAACUCACAAUGAAACUGUCAUCGUAACUUUAAGCGUUCGGACCCUACGGUUCGAGAACAAUGUAGACAUGAUCGAGAUACGUCUCCGGUCAAUAACCAAUAGCGGGACCUGGAUGCCCAUAUUGGCUCCUACAUAUUCUACGAAGAUCUUUAUCGGUCAGACCGCAUAACAACAUACGUUGUUCCCUUUGUCAUCGGUAUGUUACUUGCCCGAGAUUCGAUCGUCGGUAUCCAAUACCUAGUUCAAUCUCGUUAUCGGCAAGUCUCUUUACUCGUUCCGUAGUACAUCAUCUCACAACUAACACAUUAGUUGUAAUGCUUGCAAGGCUUAUGUGAUGUGCAUUACCGAGAGGGCCCAGAGAUACCUCUCCAACAUUUGGAGUGACAAAUCCUAAUCUCGAAAUACGCCAACCCAACAAGUACCUUUGGAGACACUUGUAGAGCACCUUUAUGAUCACCCAGUUAUGUUGUGACGUUUGGUAGCACACAAAGUGUUCCUCCGGUAAACGGGAGUUGCAUAAUCUCAUAGUCACAGGAACAUGUAUAAGUCAUGAAGAAAACAAUAGCAACAUACUAAAUGAUCGGGUGCUAAGCUAAUGGAAUGGGUCAUGUCAAUCAGAUCAUUCAACUAAUGAUGUGACCUUGUUAAUCAAAUAACAACUCUUUGUUCAUGGUUAGGAAACAUAACCAUCUUUGAUUAACGAGCUAGUCAAGUAGAGGCAUACUAGUGACACUUUGUUUGUCUAUGUAUUCACACAUGUAUUAUGUUUCCGGUUAAUACAAUUCUAGCAUGAAUAAUAAACAUUUAUCAUGAUAUAAGGAAAUAAAUAAUAACUUUAUUAUUGCCUCUAGGGCAUAUUUCCUUCAGCUCGCCUGUCACCGCGCUAGGAACCAUCUCCGCGACCGCGGGAAGCUGCUGUGGCGACCACGUGAUGCUUCCGGGGGCGCCCUCGGCCGCGCUUGGGUGCGGGAGAGGUAGGCUUGACCUGGCAGGCCUUUCCCUUCUCUGCUGCAGAGAAACGGCGAAUCGGAGCCAUCGCGGCAAGAUGGAGCAAGGACUGGGAAGAAGGAGGAGCAAGGAGCGAUGGACUGGAAGGGCACGCGUAGUUCCGUACUUAUAGCCGGCGAAGGCCAACCGCCGGCCUCCACGAUCGCAGGUAAUCAUGACACGAUUUGCAUGCAGGGACUUGUCCAACCCGCGCGAUCACCGAGGCAUCAUGGGGAAGCGGAGACACCCACAUCCCAUCAACCGCCACGCGGUGCCCAAGGCCGCAGGCUGUUAGGGCCCGCGGCGCUUCGCCCUUGCCCUUUCGCCUCUCGGCACGGCCAAGUCCGGGCGCGCCUUGGGCCCGGGGGCUACUGUCGGCGUUCUGGGAAUGGGGGUCCCCAGACUUGCCUGCUUGCGGCCUGCGGCAUGGCUCAAAGGGGGCCCAGCACGGCCCAUCUUCAUCAACACAAGACUCAAGACCCUCGCGAGGGGCUAAGCGUCGCAGGGCGGACGACGUGGAGCUUCCUCAGGCGCGGACUCGUCAGGCUGGCUCGCGAGGAGGCGAAGAAAUCAAGGUGGGGUACCUCGCGAGGUGCCCAUGACGCAAGCCAUGAUGAUCAAAGGCGCCAGGCGGGUGCCAGCCCGCGCAGCGUCCUCCUUUCCUCUUUGGUGCAAAGGGAGCAAGCGUAGCCGCGGAGUACCGAGGCAUCAGGCAAAGGUUGCCAUUUCGGUGCAACGAGACCAAGACCAGGAGGACUACGAGACGGAGGUCACCGUGGAGCCCAAGACGGUGUCAUCACCAGAGCUUUGCGCAGGCGAAGACUACUUUUGUCAGGAUAGCUGAUACUUGACGUCCCCCUUCAAAUUAGCCCGCCAUUGUUGGCUCCCUUCCCGCUCGAUAUUUGGGAAGAGGACCAGGGCCUCUAUAAAUAGGAUCAACCACCCACAUAACAAGGGGGGGCGGUGAGUGUGAGUAAGUAAGAGAGAGAGAAGGGUGACUGAACUCCUCCUAGCAGUUCGUCGCCCCAGCCAAGAGCAGACCCUCGCAAGGCUGUUCUUCCUUGUAUUGUUCAUCAUCAUCAGCCCCAAGAGGCAAUCCACCCACCAAACACUGGAGUAGGGUAUUACACCACAACGGUGGCCCGAACCAGUAUAAACCUUGUGUCUCUUGUGCAGUUCUUUCAGUAGUCUAGAUCUUUGCGAGACGGUGAGGUAGAAGGUGUAAUCUUCGCGCGCACCCCAGAGUUUGAACCUUAAGGGUCUGCCGGAACUCGAAAUCCGACAAUCAUUCUCGGAUUUUGAAGAUCGAAGAAGAUUUUCUCUUUAAUAUUGCUCCAUUCUCUUCAAGAUUCGUGAUUCUAGCUUGUUGCCAUCCUCUCAUAAUUCUCUUCGGUUGUGAAAAUUCUUUUCAUCUAUCCGGAGCAAUUCAAGAGUCUUCUCAGUUUGUUUCUCCGGAGCCCAUCAUCUCAGAAUUAUUCAUGUCAGCUUUCAGCUAUCAUUCACCAAAUCUUACCGGUGCAUCAUUCAAGUAUUCUCUUAUCAGCUCGUGAUCUCUUUGUUUCACUUGUAUCUAAAUCCUCUCAAGCAUCUUCAUUCGUUCUCUAAUUCUUACCCGGUGAUUCAUCCCUUUACUUCGUUCUUUUUCAAUUCUUACGGUGGGUCGUUCAAGAUUUCCCUUCCUUCGUUAUCAUAUCAACUCAUUCGUUGUUCCAAUCCUACCGAUGGUUCAUUGAAGACCUUUCUCAAGUUGGCGCUAUGUCUAUCUAAAUCCUUUCUACGAGUAUAAGUAGUAUGAAAAAAUCCGUUGCUUGUCAUCAAUUUAAAUUGGUGAAUGAUAAGCGUAACAUAAUUCUUAUUCUUGAUUCACCCAAGUGAUUAAUUCCUUAUUCCGAAGGUUCAUCUAAAUUCUUGAUUUCUGUUGUUCAUCUUUUCUUUACCCGGAGUUCCAAGCUCUAAUUAUCACGGAGAUCCAUCUAAAGCAUUACAAGGUUUCAACUUGUGUUUUCAACUUCUAUUUCCUUCCGUUUGAUCAUUAUUUUGUUUAACGGAGUUCUUCAUGAAGGUUCUACAUGAUGGUUCAUCAAGGAUUUAAUUCCUUCUUGAAGUGGCCAUUGAGAUUCUUUUCAAAGGAGCUCAAGUAUUCUCCAUCUUGCAAUCCGGAGUGCAAUUCUUUCUUCCGUAUCAUUGGAGGUGGUGUUAUGUCGUUCUUGAUAAUUUCCCUUCGUGCUUCGUGAUUCACAAGUUAUCAAGAAUGAGAUAUUUUAAAUCCAUCAAUCUCGUCAUUGGAGUUAUCUUGGGUUAUAUUUCACCUAAAGCUUUCCCUAAGGAUUGUUGCUAAUUAUGAUGCUUAUAAAUGACCCAAGUUCUUCAUUCAUCCUUCCGGUGAAAUAAGUUUCUCGCCUCCUUGUUCAUAUCAACCCAAUCUUUUGUUUUCCAUUGGUGGCAGAAUUUCACCUCAUAAUUUUGAGAUGUUUUCCAUAAGCCCACAACAAGCUUACUCUCUUCAUUGUUGGUUUUCCAACAACUCCGUUAUAACCUUCUUGGAAGGGUGCUUUCCAAGAUCAUUUGUGGCAGAAGUUGUCAUUCUCUUCUCCAUUUUGUUAUUCCAAUGAUAUAUCUUUUAUUCUUCCUUCCGGAGGCAUUGUGUUGUUACUCCCUUCUUCCCAUCAACUCAUUUUUUUCCAAGAUCAUAUUCUUUUCUAGCUUAUCCAUUUAACCGGAGUGUUGUCGUAGUUGGUCUUAUCAUUCCUUGUACAUCUCGUGUCAACCGAGGUGCUUGCAUCUACUUCUUAUCCAUUGUAACAUUUUUUUUCUUAUGUCUUUCAACCUACAAGGUUCUCGUAAUGUUCCUUGUUCCUCUUUUCUACCGGUUUGUUUUCAAUUUAUUCAUCUUCGUUGUAUUCUUUCUUUCUAUUUGUUCAACUUUUCAAGGUUCUUUGGUUUCACUCAUUGGUCAAAGAAGCAACUUAGUUUUACCUCUUCUCUUUCUCUUCCGUUUUUUUCCUGGUGCCAUCCUAGAUCUCGGGACGAGAUCCUCUCGUAGUGGUGGAGUGUUGUGAUGCCCCGAUACUGAUAUGCCAGGUGUCUUCCAUUAUUCGCUGUUGUUGUCUUGUCAUUCACUUGCGUGUUGCAUCUUGUCAUGUCAUCAUGUGCAUUUCAUCAUCACGUUUUUAAAACUUGCAUCUCUCCUGGUCUCGUCGUUCUUUCCGUUGUUCGUUCUGAGCCCGACCACACUUGCACGCGCCCGCGGCAUGUCUGAAAUAGUAUUUUAUAAGUGGCCGGAAAAUGUUCUCGGAUUGGGUUGAUAGUUGGCGUGUGGUAUUAUUAUAGUGUAGAUAGACUGCCUAUCAAGUUUCAUCGCAUUCGAAGCUCGUUUGAUAGCCAAACCGUUAAACUAUAGAGACAAUAUAGUCGGUCAAAUCGUCGGACGUUUUCGAUAUCCGGGACUACCGCCGAGCCUCUUCUUCUCUUCUCUGCUCUCAGACCACCUAGUUUCCCCUCCGCUUCGGACCGCACGAUCGCGAUCCGAGGGUCCAAAACGGAGCAAGCCCCUCUCCAAACCCUAAUCCUAGCCCUCCUACUAUAAAUAGACCCCUUCCCUUUCCAAAUCGGGUCUAAACCUAGCCUAGCCCCUCCCCAAACCUCCAGCCACCACAUCAACCUCGAAGCCCGCGCCGCUAACCAGAUCCAACCACCCCCUGCUCAUUUUCCGGUGCCCUCCACCUCACACCCGCCACUUGGCGUGCCUAGAUUGGCUCAGCCACCGCCCGCAGCCGCCCGUGGCCACUCGCAGGUGGCCACAUGACCUCUCCUCGCUUUUCCCCUGUCUCCCCGCGCCGCCGUGGCCCACUCAGGCUCGCGCAAGGCCCGCCCAAGCCCAUCCAGGGCCCGAGCGCCACUCCGGCCGAUCUGCAUCGCCGUGCUGCUUUUCCUCGCUCGAUCCCAAUGAGAACAGGAGCGCCGCCACCGGCCUCUCAUCGCCGCUGCCUUCCCCUCGUGCCCGUGUGCCUUUUACACGAGACCGAAGCCCUCGUACCCAAGCGUCUCCGUCGACCCUGCUUUUGACCGGCGACCUCGUCCGCCGGAGCUCGCCUUCGCUGGCCAGUAGCAGCAGCAACCAGCGCGCCCCUUCGUCCUCCUCUCGCCCUUCACCUUGAGCUGCCGGUGUCACAAGAGGCCGCCAAAUCCCGCCGUGAUCGCCAGGGCCUUCCCCGACCUCGAUCUGUCAAGUCCGCCGGCGGGAGCGGCCUUCACCGCUCAGAUCCAUCGAUGCCUCGCCUCUGCUUCGUUUCAGUCGAGGACGAGCGAUCCCUCGUCAUCGCGUUGACCGCAGAAGACCCGCACCUGGGCCAUGUCUCGUGUCAGGUGCACCAAUCGGCCCAGCUGCCAGGCCCAGCGGCGCCCGGCCUGCCUGGGCCUCUCCACUAACCGACUUGACCUCAGCCCACUGGGUGAGGCCACCCUAGCGCCCCCCUUUUUUUUCUUUCCCUGUUGGGCUUCCUGCUCAGAUGCGGUCCGUAUCAUGUUUUUUCCCUUGGUCGGAUUUAGCUAAUUUAUCCAGAGACUGUCAGUUUUGCAGAAACACCCUUGCACUUCAUGCAUAUCCUAACUAAUUAACCGUGCAUCGAAUUAAAACAAACUUUAUAUGUAAAAUAUCUAGAAUUUUGUCUAGUUUAAUAAUAUCCAACUUUCAUCCAUGUUUAAAAUGUUUAAACCGCUGUUUGUUUAAAUUUGCUUAAAUAACUUGUUAAAAUGCUUUAAUUCAUAACUAAAUAACCGUAACUCGGAAUUUAAUAAACUUUAUAUGUAAAUGGGGUGGAAAAAUUUCUAGUUUAACAUGGUGACCUUACUUUGCAUGUGUAAUAACUCUAAAAUUAUGUUUAGGGCAGAACAGUACCAAACCUAAAAUAUGCAUAUGGGGAUUUACCGGAAUUGUUGUUCGUUGCUUCCGGCCUCAUUUAAACUUGACUAGAUAGGUAGUUUUACUUUGCUUCACCCUCUUGCAAUGUUUAACAACAUUUAAUAUUGUUGGGUACAUAAACAAGAUCGAACUAAAUAAGUCACGUGGUGUUUCGUCAAUAUGGAACGGAGUUGCAUAUUGAGCUCCACUUAAUUUGUAAGGUUGUUUGUGCACUUUUCCAUGCCAUGCCUCAUUAAACCGGACAUGCAUCAUACUUGUUUGCGCAUCGUGCCAUGUUUAUGUGAUGAUUGUUUACCAUGAUUGUUUGCUUCUUUCCGGUGUUGCUUCUUCGGGUUGGUUCCAAUAACGUCGUGUUGUGAGGAUUCGUUCGACUACGUCCGUUUGUCUUCUUCAUGGACUCGUUCUUCUUCCUUGCGGGAUCUCAGGCAAGAUGACCAUACCCUCGAAAUCACUUUAUCUUUGCUUGCUAGAUGCUCGCUCUUUUGCUAUGCCUACGCUACGAUACCUACCACUUGCUUAUCAUGCCUCCCAUUUGCCAUGUCAAGCCUCUGACCCACCUUGUCCUAGCAAACCGUUGUUUGGCUAUGUUAUCGCUUUGCUCAGUCCCUCUUAUAGCAUUGUUAGUUGCAGGUGAAGAUUGGAGCUUGUUCCUUGUUUGGAACAUGGAUAUUUUGUUGGGAUAUCACAAUAUCUCUUAUUUAAUUAAUGCAUCCAUAUACUUGGUAAAGGGUGGAAGACUCGGCCUUAUGCCUGGUGUUUUUUUCCACUCUUGCGGCCCUAGUUUCCGUCAUAUCGGUGUUAUGUUCCCGGAUUUUGCGUUCCUUACACGGUUGGGUUAUAAUGGGAACCCCUUGACAGUUCGCCUUGAAUAAAACUCCUCCAGCAAGGCCCAACAUUGGUUUUACCAUUCGCCACCUAGCCUUUUCUUUCCCUUGGGUUCUGCAGACUCAAGGGUCAUCUUUAUUUUAACCCCCCCGGGCCAGUGCUUCUCUAAGUGUUGGCCCGAACCGAGUAGACUGCGGGGCCACCUCGGGGCAACUUAAGGGUAGGUUUUACUCGUAGGAUGUCUCAUCUGAGUGUGCCCUGAGAACGAGAUAUGUGCAGCUCCUAUCGGGAUUUGUCGGCACAUUUGGGCGGCUUUGCUGGACUUGUUUUACCAUUGUCGAGGAUGUCUUGUAACCGGGAUUCCGAGCCUGAUCGGGUCUUCUUGGGAGAAGGAAUAUCCUUUGUUGACCGUGAGAGCUUGUGAUGGGCUAAGUUGGGACACCCCUGCAGGGAUUUGAACUUUUGAAAGCCGUGCCCGCGGUUAUGGGCAGAUGGGAAUUUGUUAAUGUCUGGUUGUAGAAAAUCUGAAGUUUAUCUUAAUUAAAAUACAUCAACCGCAUUGUAGCCAUGAUGGUCUCUUCUCGGCGGGGUCCGGAAAGUGAACAUGGUGUUGGAGUUAUGAUUGACGUAGGUUGUUCUAGGAUCACUUCUUGAUCAUAGUUUUCCGCUUGUGCCAUUGCCUUCUCUUCUCGCUCUCUUUUGCGCAUAUGUUAGCCACCAAAUACGCUAGUCGCUUGCUGCAGCUCCACCUCAUACCUUUUACCCUACCUAUAAGCUUAAACAGUCUUGAUCGCGACGGUGUGAGAUUGCUAAGUCCCCGUGACUCACAGAUACUUCCAAAACCAGUUUGCAGGUGCCGAUGAUACCGUGCAGGUGACACAACCAAGCUCAAAGAGGAGCUUGAUGAAGAUCGUGUUCAUUGUGUUGUUCCGUUUCCCGUUGAUCAGUAGUGGAGCCCAGUUGGGACGAUCGGGGAUCUGUGUAGCAUUUGGGGUAGUCUUCUUUUAUUUUGGUUCCGUAGUCAGACCUUGAUUGUAUCUGGUUGAUGUAAUGCUUUAUUCAUGUAAUUGUGUGAAGUGGCGAUUGUAAGCCAACUAUGUAUCUCUUUCCCUUAUGUAUUACAUGGGUUGUGUGAAGAUUACCUCACUUGCGACAUUGCUUACAAUGCGGUUAUGCCUCUAAGUCGUGCUUCGACACGUGGGAGAUAUAGCCGCAUCGUGGGCGUUACAAAGAAUCAAGAGCAUGGAAAAUGAGCAAAAUCUCAUGUUCAUUGACCGAAGUACUCUCGAUGAGAAGGCAAGAGCAUACUUAGAGCUUUGUCAUGGUCAAGUGUUGGCGGCAAGGCCUAUGGGAGGCUUCAUGGGAGAGUUGGAAGGCUUUGGAGCAUUCAUGGGAAGAGAGAUGGGUGGCAUGGGAGGAUUCAUGGGAGGUGGUAUGGGUGGCAAUGAAAACAAUUGUGCCAGUGUAGAGAAUUGAAGCACUUGUUCGGGCAAUGGAGGAACUCACAUUUGAGAUCUUUAUGAACUCAUGUUCUAUGCACUUUUGUUUCUGUUUGUGUUGCACAAUGCUUGAGGUUUUAGGUUCAAAUUUAACAAAUUGGAAAUGUUGUGGAUUUGAACUUGAGUUCGAAAUUUUCAAAAAAAUUGAUUAUAUGUGUUGUGAUGUUGCAAAGUAUUAAUUACCAUGUCAUAGUUUAUUUGAAUAUGUUUUGCAAUUGUGGAGUAGAGAAGGCAAAAAUUUAGGGCACCGAUUAUUGGACUGCCGGAAAAUCAUAAACUUUUCUCAUGACCAACAACCAUCUCUCUUCACACCUAAAAUCAAAGCACCAAAUUAUUGGGAUAUAGUUGGAGAUUGAUCUAAUAAAACAUUGAUCACCCUCACCAGUCACCACAUCCAACCUAAGUUGGGUCAGAUCACAAUUUCUUCAUGAUUCAGCAAAAUCUCAUGCACCACCUGCAACAACCCUCACAAGCCGCGAACAUGGCCACGGGAGCAGGCUAGGAAGCCCAAGAUCAGCUUGCACCCGAGUCCGCUGAUGUGUAAUGAAUAUGUGUAUCAUACACAGGAGCCAUAUUCACUUAUAGCGAGAUGUAUGCCCCCUCACCUCAGGCCCGACACGACUGGGCCAGCCCAACACUAUAGCUGUUUUGUGCGGUUAUUCUUUUUGUGUGGGUUUUCUUUGUCUGGGUUUUCAUUGUUUGGGUCCAGUUUUUUUUGUGGUUUUUCUUUCUAUGUGGGUUUCCUUGUCAUGUUUUCCACUGUUUGGGUCCAGGUUUUUUCUGUGUCGUUUUCUUUAUCUUGUUUUCACUGUUUGAGUCUGGUUUCCUUGAUUUUUUUCUGGUUUGUUCUUUAUUUCAUUUCGUUCAGUUUAGCUUUAUUUUUAUUUUUUAUUUAUUUUUCCUUUUUUUCACUGAUUUUCUUUGGUUUUCAUUUUUCAUUUUUUAUUUUUUUUCAACAGAUGAUCCAUCUUCCUCAUAAACAUUAUACAUUUUUGGUAAAUAUCAGGAACAUUGUUUAUAAAAAAUUUAAAUUCAUGAUUAAUACUUUUUUCAAAUAUAUGUUUUAAUAUCUACAUUUUUCAUAGACACUUUACAUUAUUUACAUACAUAAGCAGCAUUUUUAUACAGGUUUAACCUUUUUUAAAUAUGUGAUUAACAUUUUUUUGAAAUAUAUUAUUUUUAUGUCUUAUUUUUCAUACGCAUUUGUACAUUUUUUGUAUUAAAAAAUCAAACUGUUUAUACAUGUUUAACCGUAUUUUAUAAUGUCACAUACAUUUUUAUUGAAAAAGGUGAACAUUUUCUAUACAUUAUGAUUGUACAUUUUUAUACACAUUAGGAACAUCUUUUAUACAGGUUUAACAUUUCAUAAAUACAUGAUUAACAUUUUCUUCAAACAUAUGUUAUUGAUGUCUACUUUUUUCAUACAUAUUUGUAUAUUUUUUGUAUAAAUCAAGAACAUUUUUUAUUCAGAUCUAUUUUUUUCACAUACAUGAUUAACAAUAUUUUAUAAUUCACAUACAUUUUAUUGGAACGUGUGAAUUUUUAAAAAUUCACACGAACAUUUCUGUUUACAUGCUAUCGAUUUUUUUAAUUAAGCUAAGAAUUAUUUUUUACAUUGCGUUAACAUUUCUCCAUAUUUUUAAGUUUUUAGUUAAUUCCACGAUUUUGGAGUAUAUGUAUUUAUUAUAUUUUGGAAAGAGAAAAACAAAGGAAAAUACAAGGGAAAGGGCGAACUAACCUGAAACUUACCUGGCCCGGCCUAUUUAUAGCGACGGCCUGACGCGAGCGCACGCUCCGUCUCACAUCAAGCGACACAUCAACUCAAUUAAAAAAAAAAUCAAGCGACACAUAGUAGCUCCUCUUCUAGCAGGGGGUUAAACAAUCAAUUUCGUUGUUGGCCAGAGGCGUGCAAAGCGAGAUGCCGAUGUGCGGUGCAACGGUCCCACAGGUCACUGUGAUGGACCAACGAGCUCCUCUGUUGUAGUGCGACCCGAUGGUGAUGUGCCGACGCGGGGUCAUACCCUACGACAAGAAUGGCCCUCUCAGAAAAAAAAGAAAAAGACCAAUAGGGGGAGAAGCCCCUGCUGAUUUUUACUUCCUGUAUAAAAAUAUAUAUAAGUGUUUAGAUCACUAAAUAGUGAUCUAAACGCUUUUAUAUUUCUUUACGGAGGGAGUAAUAAAGAGGAUAACGUGUCCUGCGUCGGCCAGGUCCCGCUCGCUGGCCACUGGGCUAGGCCACCAUGGCCCUCUCUCCAGACUGGGAACAAGCCGCACAACAAACCAGCGUGAUUCCAACCAAGAGGACAAAUCAUUUCAUCCAGUAAUACAUUGUUUCUUUCUACAAUCUUUCUUUCUUCUAGACCUUACUGUCACUGCUGCCAAGCAAGCAGGGCACACACAUUCUCCAACAAGUCUAAUCGACACUGCAGUAACAGAAAGAAGUUCAGAGAUCCAUUGGUUCAUAAACAGUGAGCACCUUAAAGUUCAGUUCAGAGAUCGGAACAGGCUUCAAACGCUGUAACCGGGCUAAAAAGAUUUUACACAGGGAUAGCUCGCUCGCACGCACACAUCAUAGCGCUCGACAAGGCGUCCGCAUUGAACAAGCAAACAAUACAUCCAAUCCGCGCUUCGCUCUCGACAUUCCAGAUCCAAUUGUCCAACAAGCCAAUGCAUCUAAUCCACACAUCACACCUUUCUCUUCCUUCACCACGACGCGCUUUCAGAGGAAUCAGCUCUUCUUCCACACGGCAUCAGCAUCUGCGG